RNAcentral lists this long non-coding RNA (83079 nucleotides) under Gossypium barbadense (sea-island cotton). RNAcentral describes it as "long non-coding RNA (GBAR_LNC016781)". The stretch from base 26083 to 26227 matches the Rfam family "MIR7502 microRNA precursor family". The record is from RNAcentral. Lineage: Eukaryota; Viridiplantae; Streptophyta; Magnoliopsida; Malvales; Malvaceae.
GCCUUUCUUUGACUUUCUUUUUCGCCUCUUCUCAUGUUGGUUUUCAACCAAAUUCACCAACCAUUUCGGUUUUCCAGUUUGGAAAACAACAUAUCCCACCAACAUUCCGAACACUACUCCGCAUCCAUAACCUAUCAACACCACUUUCCAACCAAAAGUAAUGUUUGAUUUUGAGCCAUCUUUUUCAAGCACAUCUGGAGGUGUUGGCGCAAUGAUGUUGCAACCUUUCGAGACCGGAAACCCACAUAUGAAUCAUUUCCAAAUGUGUUGAAUUGUUUGCCUUGAGGAAUCUGACCAUGGAGUUGAUUUUCAGAAACAUUUAAGGACAAAAGAAAUGGCAGAUCUACCAAUCUAUUUGGAAUGGUUCCAGACAACCUGUUUGAAGAUAGUGUUGGCACAUAAUUAAAUUAACCUUGCACAAAUAAAUUAUGAAAAGUUAGAAGAGUGAAGAGACUUGAAUAUGAAAAGUGAAAAAACUUGAAUAUGAAUAGUGAAGAGACUUGAAGAUGAAAAGUUAAGAGGCUUGAAUAUGAAAAGAUACACACAUGCAUGAAUAGUCACAACUCCUAGCAUAUAGUGAUAUAGAUGAAUAGUCACUUACAACUCCUAUAUAAAGAGUUGUAUGUGAUGAAGAAUUAUUAACUUUGUGUGCUUGAAAUAAAAGAUUAUUUGAAAGAAUUUUUUCAUACAAAAUUUAUUUCUCUUCUCCAUUAUAUUCUUUAUCAUUUUCUUUGUUUUAUUUCUCCAAAUAUUAAUCAUUCAACUACAAAUUGGUAUCAAAGCCUUGUUCAAUCGAAAUGAACAAUUCUAUUCCUCUUUCUUCCGUUCCCCAAUUAACCAAAGAAAAUUAUGGCAAAUGGAGUAUCCAAAUGAAGGCUCUUCUUGGAUCUCUAGAAGUUUGGGAGAUUGUUGAAAAAGGUUAUAAUGAAGUUGAGGGUGAAGAGGAGGAAGGAUUAACACAAGUUCAAAAAGAGAGUCUAAGAAAAUCAAGGAAGAAAAAUCAGCAAGCCUUAUUUUGGAUAUAUCAAGGAGUUCAAUCAUAUGAAGCGGCUUGGGAAAAAAUAGCUUGUGCCACCACGGCAAAACAAGCAUGGGAAUUUUUACAAAAUUCAUUCAAAGGAGAUGAAAAGGUGAAAAGAGUUCGGUUGCAAACUCUUUGAGGAGAGUUUGAAAGAUUGCAAAAAAUAGAGUCAGAAUCAGUUUCUGAUUACUGUUCACGGGUUUUGUCCAUAGUCAAUCAAUUAAAAAGAAAUGGUGAAACUAUGGAUGAUAUUCGUGGUGUUGAGAAAAUCCUCCGUUCUUUAGAUUCCAAAUUUGACUACAUUGUGGUUGCCAUAGAAGAAUCAAAGGACUUGAGUACCAUGACUAUUGAUGAACUCACAGGUUCGUUGCAAGCCCAUGAAGAAAGAUUAAACAAGAAGAAAAAGGAAGUAGAUCUAGAUCAAGCACUUCAGUCAAAGUUGUCUCUAAAUGAGAAUAAGGGAGAUUUUAAAAAUCAAAGAGGGAGAGAUCGUGGUCGUGGAAGAGGAAGAAAUUUUAGAGGAAGAGGCUCAAAUGCUCGUGAAAGAGGUGAAGAUGUAAGCAUGGAGAAUGGAUGGAAAGAAGCCAACCAAAGUCAAAAUUUUAGAGGAUCACAAAGAGGACGUGGACGUAGAAAUCAAAGAGGAAGAGGUCGUGGCUAUUUUGAAUGUUAUAAUUGUCGCAAACCUGGUCAUUUGGCAAGUGAAUGCUGGUACAAAGAAGAAGAGAAAAAUGAAGCUAAUAUAGUACAAAAUAAUCAAGAGCAAAAGCAAGAAACUUUGUUGCUCGUAUCUCAUGGUGGAGAGAUUGAUGAUGUCUGGUACAUAGACAGUGGUGCUAGCAAGCAUAUGACAGGUAACAAAAAUUUAUUUUCGAAGUUCUUUGAAUCUGAUUGUGGAGAAGUAAAAGUAGGAGAUGGCAAAGCUUACAAAGUUAGCGGUGUUGGUGAGUUGGAGUUCAAAACAAAGCAAGGAAGGGUAGAGAAAAUGUCUGAAGUUUAUUUUGUUCCUGGUCUUAAAAAUAAUCUGCUUAGCGUUGGGCAUCUCUUGAAGAAGGGGUAUGAUAUUCAUUUCCGAGACAUGGCUUGCUAUUUAUCAAAGAAAAAUCAGGUUGUUGCUAGAGUUGGAGUGGCAUCAAAUAAUCUUUUCUCUCUUACCCUUCAAAAUCAGAAUAUGUCUUGUUUUAUUGGUGCUCAUAAAGGAAUUUCAAAGUUAUGGCAUGAUAGAUAUGGACAUUUAAACUAUGGAAAUUUGGAGAUGCUUUCAAGGAAGAUGAUGGUUAGAGGUUUACCAAAAAUCGAUCGGCUUGAUGAUGUUUGUGAAGCAUGUCAACUUGGAAAGCAACAUAAAAUUGCUUUUCCUUCUCAAUCCUCGUGGAAAGCAAGAAGACCAUUGCAACUUAUUCACUCAAAUCUUUGUGGUCCAAUGACAGUUUCAUCUUUAGGAGGUAAUCGUUACUUUAUCUCUUUCAUUGAUGAUUACUCAAGAAAGUUAUGGGUGUAUUGUGUCAAAGAAAAAUCAGAGGCUUUUCAGAGAUUCAAAGAUUUCAAGGCAGAAGUGGAGAACUUUACUGGGUUGAAAAUUAACACCUUGCGUACAGAUCGUGGAGGUGAAUAUUUUUCAAAAGAAUUUGAGAAAUAUUGCCGAGAUAGUGGCAUCCGGCAUGAAAUGACAGUCCGCCAUACACCUCAGCAAAAUGGUGUGUGUGAAAGAAAGAACAGAACAAUUAUGGAAAUGGCUAGAUGUCUUCUUAAUAAGAAGAGGUUAUCAAGAAGAUUUUGGGCUGAAGUUGUUUCCUGUGCAGUUUAUCUUAUAAACAGAUCACCGACAAGAAGCUUGGAGAAUUACACACCACAUGAGGCGUGGUAUGGUAUAAAGCCUAGUGUUAGUCAUCUUAGAGUAUUUGGGAGUGUUGCCUACUCUCUAUUCCAGAUGCAAUGAGAAGCAAGUUGGAUGACAAGUCAGAGAAAUGCAUUUUUAUUGGCUAUAGUGAAAGAAGUAAGGCAUACAAGUUGUAUAAUCCGGUGACAAAGAAGAUUGUGAUAAGCCGAGAUGUUCGGUUUGAUGAAAAUUCCAUGUUUGAAGAUAUGGAAGUUGAAAAGGAAAAUUUGCCAAUUUUUCCUUUUGAACUUGAAGAAGAAGAAGAGGCAGUAAUUGAGAAUGCUGAAGAUGAUGCUCAAGUAGAAAAUCCUCCUGCUUCCCCAUGUUCUUCAUCAAAUUCUUCUUCAUCCAGCCCGAUCCGAAAAACGAGAAGCAUCCAAGAGUUAUAUGAUGUAACGGAUGAAGUUGUGCAAAAUGAUGCUGUAUUCUUUGCCUUCUUUGCAGGAGAAGAUCCAAUUUCUUUUGAUGAUGCAUAUCAAGAAGAAAUAUGGAGGAAAGCCAUGAAAUAAGAGAUUUUCUCAAUUGAAAACAAUGAUACAUGGGAACUCACAGAUUUACCGCCGCACAAGAAUUCAAUUGGAGUCAAAUGGGUGUACAAGACAAAGAUGAAUCCGAAUGGCUCUAUCAACAAGUACAAGGCAAGACUGGUUGCAAAAGGAUACAAGCAAAAGGAAGGAGAAGAUUUUACAGAGGUAUUUGCUCCAGUUUCAAGACUUGAGACAGUUCGGUUACUUAUUUCUCUUGCUGCCCAAAAUAAUUGGAAAAUAUUCCAAAUGGACGUAAAAUCUGCGUUUUUGAAUGGUGUUCUCAAAGAAGAAGUCUAUGUUGAUCAACCACCAGGGUUUGUCAAAAAAGGAGAAGAAGAAAAAGUUUACAAGUUGAAGAAAGCUUUGUACGGGUUGAAGCAAUCACCCAGAGCAUGGUACAGCCGCAUCGAUUCUUAUUUUCAGAAGUGUGGAUUCCAGAAAUCUCCAUAUGAGCAUACUCUCUACAUCAAAGGCAAUUAUCAAGGAAGAUUCAUGGUUGUAAGUCUCUACGUUGAUGAUCUUAUUUUCACAGGAAAUGAUGUGAAGAUGUUGAAAGAAUUUCAGCACUCAAUGAUGGCAGAAUUUAAGAUGACAGAUUUGGGAGAACUUCAUCAUUUUCUUGGCAUUGAAGUUCAUCAAUCCGAGAAAGGAAUUUUUAUUUCACAAGAGAGCUACGCAAAGGAAGUUCUAAAAAAAUUCAUGAUGGAAAAUGCGAAUCCAGUCUCUACUCCAUGCAUUACAGGUCUGAAGUUAUCUAAAGAGGGUGAAGGAAAGCUUGUCAAUUCCACCAUAUUCAGAAGUUUGGUUGGGAAGUUGAUGUAUCUGACUUCGACAAGGCCUGAUAUCGUGUAUGUUGUUAGCUUGGUAAGUAGAUUCAUGGAGAAACCUUACUCCAAUCACUGGGAGGCUGCCAAGAGAAUAUUGAGAUAUGUGAAGGGAACCAUUGAUUAUGGAAUUUUCUAUAAAUCUAAUACAUUAGUUGAUCUCAUUGGUUAUACGGAUAGUGAUUUAGCAGGAAGCAUUGAUGAUAGCAGAAGCACUUCUGGUUAUGUUUUUCACCUUGGUAGUGGUGCAGUUUCAUGGAGUUCAAAGAAACAAUCAAUUGUGGCGCUUUCGACUAUAGAAGCUGAAUAUAUCGCUGCAUCUUAUGCAGGAUGUCAAUUGAUUUGGUUACGUGGAAUUUUGGAAAGUCUUAAGCAGAAGCAAAGCAAGUCAACAAUUUUGUUUUGUGACAAUAGUUCUACUAUUUCGGUCACAAAAGAUCCAAUUCUUCAUAGAAGGACAAAACACAUUCGCAUUCGAUAUCACUUCUUGAGAGAACUAGUGAAUAAUGGUGAUGUUCAAGUUGAAUAUUGCAAGACGGAAGAUCAGAUGGCUGAUAUCUUCACAAAGCCUCUAAGUGGACAAGUCUUCAAGAAAAAUGUUGAAAGGUUGGGAGUUCAAAGCAAGUUUAAUUUAAGGGAGGCAUUGUUGGCACAUAAUUAAAUUAACCUUGCACAAAUAAAUUAUGAAAAGUUAGAAGAGUGAAGAGACUUGAAUAUGAAAAGUGAAAAAACUUGAAUAUGAAUAGUGAAGAGACUUGAAGAUGAAAAGUUAAGAGGCUUGAAUAUGAAAAGAUACACACAUGCAUGAAUAGUCACAACUCCUAGCAUAUAGUGAUAUAGAUGAAUAGUCACUUACAACUCUUAUAUAAAGAGUUAUAUGUGAUGAAGAAUUAUUAACUUUGUGUGCUUGAAAUAAAAGAUUAUUUGAAAGAAUUUUUUCAUACAAAAUUUAUUUCUCUUCUCCAUUAUAUUCUUUAUCAUUUUCUUUGUUUUAUUUCUCCAAAUAUUAAUCAUUCAACUACAGAUAGGUCCAACCAUUCAAGACUUGUCAAAUCCCCUACUGAGGUAGGGAUACCACUAUUAAGGUUAUUAUGAGAAAGGUUGAGCCCUUUCAGUAAGUUAAGCUUCCCAAUAACCUUUGGAAUCUCCCCUUCAAACUGAUUGCUUGAUAGAUCAAUGAUCACCCACAUAGUGAAAAUUUUCACCAAUUCCACGUCUUGUCCUUUCAUAACAAUUCCAAUGGAAUAGGCAUAGAAGUCAUCUCCAUCAUUCACCCCCAUGUACGACACUGUACUACUAACCUUCUCUAGAUUUAUGAUAGCCUUGAAGCUGUUGAUGUAUCUCACUAGUAGGGGUCCAGAAAAAUAAUUACUUGAGAGGUCAAAAAUUUGGAUUUUAGAGAAAAAAGGGCUAGACUUGGAGUUAUUGACACACAGGGAACCAUGCAUUUGAUUUGACUUUAGUACAAGAACUUGUAGCUGUGGAAGACUUCCCAACCAAUGAGGAAAUGUAUCAUUGAUCUUGUUGUUACCAAGAUCUAGUACUUCCAGACCUCUACAAUUAAGGAUGGAUGGUGUCAAAGGCCCUCCUAACAGAUUUCCAUUUAAAUUGAAAUUACUCAAUUGGCAUCCCAUUGCAAAUGUUGGAGGAAUCGUCCCAUAGAACUUGUUCUUCUUCAGAUUCAAGAAUUGAAGGCUGUUGCUCAAAUUUCCAAAACACUGCGGAAUUGUUCCACUCAAGUAAUUGUGGGACAAAUCAAGAAUUUGAAGAUAAGUGGCAUUGCAUAUUAAUGAAGAGACCUCUCCAUUGAAACAAUUAUUUGAGAUCAAAAAGACAGUGAUGGUCGAAGCUGGAAUCGGAAGAUUUCCACUGAUCAAAUUGGAGCUUAAGUCAAGAACAUCAAUAUUCUUCCAUGGAAAGUGCUCAGCUUCUGUCAAAGAGUUGUGAAAUACAUUUAAGUAAGUCAAAGAGCCAUUCCCCACCUCUUGCAUCCACUAUGGAAUCUUGCCUUUAAUUUUGUUGCAAGAGAGGUCUAAGCUUUCCAAACUUUUAAGCCCUUUUAAAAAUUGGGGGAAUUCACUAAGAUUGCAAGAUGACAAAAAUAACCAUUCAAGAUUUCCACUGAUCAAAUUGGAGCUUAAGUCAAGAACAUCAAUAUUAUGACGAUAUAUAAGUUUCCCUUUAUUUUUUAAAAAAAAACCUCGUCUCGAGAUAUCGAAAGGUCAUAUCCAAUGAGUUAGGACACAACGUUUUGAAUUCCCGAGAUAAGCUUUAAUUUGAAAUUUUUAUAUUUUAAUUAAAAAAUGAUACUCAGUUACUUAAAUUCAACGAGGAAAAUUGGAGCCCAGUAAGUUAGGGCACAUUCUUCUCGAAAAUCUUGGAUACCGGGUAUUACGUUAUUUUGAAAACCUUUGAAUAAAACGAUUUCUAUACUUUGAUUAAAUGCAACCUUUUAAACGAAUAAAAUGCGAUGGAACAAUAACAUACAACCCGAAGUGAUAAUUCGUAAACUAAAAUAUAUGCUAAUGAUUGACAAGGAAUCAAUGAAUACGAGUAAGCAAUACAAUACAUCAUAUAAGAGCAACAAUCUCAUAUCCCACAUUAUGCAAAUACUAACGUCCAUAUUAGCAAGCUAAAUGAAUUAAAAGUUAAUUAAAGAACAGCAAGCAAAUUAAUGUAAAUCUAAUAUAACAAGCUUUAAAAUAAAAUAAAAAUAAAAAUCAUGAAAGAGAGGAAAGUGCUAAGGGAUAAGAUUGAAGGCCCGUAAUAUGAUCGCAAGACAAAGAAGCACGCUCUGUUAUGGAAAAAGAGUUCUUGAACUGGAUUAAUGAAGAGCAGGAGUGAGAUCCUGAAGAAGAAAAAGAAGCAUAAAGAUGGGGAAAAAAGAGGAAUAGGGAGAGAAAGAGAUAGGAGGCCAUGUUAUGUUUGUAGAGGAAGAAGGAUAGGAAUGGUAUUUAUAGGCAACAAAUAAUACCACAACAUUGGUGUUACAGUCUUUUUUUUCUUUUACAUUGAAAUGCUACAGAUAUUAGAUUUUCAAAAUAUUUGUAUUUUUCACAAUCAUCAACACUUAGUCGUCAUUUUACCAUAUAUUUUUCAUUCUUUUUUUUUUUAACAAAAUCUUGUAUAUCAUUUGGACUCGCUAAACAACUAAAAAAAUAAAGAUUGAUGAGAUUACAAAGUAGAUUGACUUAGUCUUCUUCCCUAUAACAUGUAAAGAAUGUAUGUGUCUAUUCAAUUGCCUGUCAACCAAAGCUUAUUAAUGUGGAAAUUCUUUUCCACACAAAAGAACAAAAUUGUGCUCUAUUCAGCUACGUUUGAGGAAGGAGACGGCUGGAAAUUUAAUCCACCGAUUCCAUAAAAACGUGUAUAUUUAUUUAUAAAUAUAUAUAUAACCUCAUGAUUCAAAUCUAAAAUCUCAUUUGUUAUAAAUUCUUAUAAAUUUAUUUGGGAAUAGUUAUUUUUCAUUCGUUAAUUAUUUCUCUUUUAGCCGUGAAACUUAUAUGGUUCGUUAAAUCGCCCCAAAAAAUGAUAAAAAAGAUUAACAAAACUAGCCCCUACGUGGCUGAUGUUGACCCUUAGUAGUUAAUGGCAACUCCUAUGUAAUUGUUAACAGAUACCACAGCAACAAUGUUUGUUGACGUGACAAUGCCACAUGACCAAUAAUCGUUGUCAUGGUAGUGCCACGCCGUCACCCAUUGAUGACAUAUUAACCUUCGAGUUAAACUCAAAUUGCUCUUUCCUUUGUUAUAAAUUAAGAGUAUAACUAAUUUUGAUAAGAAUAGUUACUUUUCAUUAACUCAGUUUAAAGGACUAUAACACGUAAAGUUUGGUCUAUUGCAGAAUUCACAUGCAAUGCGGGAUAUUUACAUUUUGAAGAAUUCAACACAUAUAUGGGAAUUUUUGUAUUUCCACAAUCAUAAUUUUGUUAGUGAUCAACAACUACUUCCUCCUUACCAUAUAUUUUUCAUUCAUAAAAUUGAUUACUUUUUUUAUCAAAGAAGUAAAAUAAUUAACAUUCUUAAGAUUACAAAGUCUUCUUCCUUAUAACACGUAAAGUUUAGUUCCAAAUAAUUUUCCACAAAAAAAAGACCAUCAAUUGUCGAUUGACUAUACUUUAACUCCAAAAAAAAGACUAAGACUAUCAAUUGUCUAUUGACUACACUUUAACUCGACAAAAAAGGACUAAGACUAAGACUUUCAAUUGUCUAUUGACUUCACACUUGCGGUUGCUUCCUCCUAUCUCUCUCACCCAAACUUAAUUUAGAAGCAAUGGGGAAAUUUUGGACAUUUGGGCCACAAUGAACAAUACUUCCACACCAUUUGCAGUAUUGACUACGUUUACUUGAGGGAAAACAAAGACAUGAAUGCUGGAAAUUUUAACUAGUUUGUACCGUCAAUGAAGCUACGUACCUAAAAGCCUUUUAGGAUAUCAAUUCCUGUAAUUGGAUUAAUCUCAUCGUUGCUGCAAUCUUUUGACAGUGUAAUCGAAUCUUAAAUAUGUUACUCUGCAAUGCUGUUGUAAAAAUUACUCUUAAAAUUGUCGAUAGAUAUAUAGGUUUGGCACAAAAUUAAGAAUACACAAAGGCAGGUUGAAUUAUUCCAUGUUUGAACAUAAAUUCAUAUGGCAAAAGGGCCCAAACCAUACCUUAUGUUCAUGAAUUCUCAUCAUCACAUGUUUAUAAAUGCAUCUCAAAACUUGAAUAAUUGAAUCUUUUGUAAUUCUACAUGUAUUUUUUUUUAUGGUGAGCAGUAUAAUGUUUACUAAAAAUUGAAAUUCAAGAAAGAAGACAUACAUAGUUGCACCAUACAAGUUGUUACACUCGAACUAAACCCUUACAAAUAGUACGAGAUGCAAUGAAAUACAGAGGAAUUGGUACAAUCAUAAAGACAGACACAUACCAAUGCAACUUUUCACCAUAGGAAAAACUUUCUGACAGACUACUAAACAAGAAAUUAUGAAGACACAGCAGAAAUGCUUUGACUUCUUUUGCACCAACUAGAUCCUUCUUCAUCCAUUGAUGCGAUUGCUAUAUUUUGGCUUUCUUCUUCGCCUCUUCUCAUGUUGGUUUUCAACCAAAUUCACAAACCUUUUCACCUUACCGGUUUGGAAAACAACAUAUCCCAUGGCCAUUCCAAACACUACCCCGCAUCCACAACCUAUCAACACCACUAUCCAACCAAAAGCAAUGUUUGCUUUUGAGCCAUCCUUUUCCAGCACAUUUGGAGGUGGUGUCUCAUUGAUGCUGCAACCUUUGGAGACUGGGAAUCCACAUAGUCUCUGUUUCCUUCAUAUGAAUUGUUUCGAAAUGUAUUGACAAUCUGACCAUGGAGUUGAUUUUCAGAAACGUUUAAGAAGAAAAGAAAUGCCGGAUCUGCCAAUAUCUCUGGAAUUAACUCAGUUCAAAUGACCAUAUAACUCGUAAAGUUUGGUCGAAGACUGGCAGCGUCUAUUGACUUCAACUCUUGCUAUUACCUCAAGAAGAAAGACUGCUACAAUUCUAUCUUCUUUAAACCAGCUAUUUAAAAGCAAUAAGGACAUUAAAUCCACCAAUUUAUCUUUGAAGUCAUUCGUCAUGCAGCUCUGCUAUGUACGAUUAUUGGCAAAAAUCUUGAAAGGAGACAACCUCAAAUUUGAAGACAAGAAAUGAGCAAGAACAUGCACCAACGAAGAAUCGAUUAUUGUUUUGUAUUUGGUAAAUACAAUUUGAGUUAAAUAAUCAAGAAUGAUAGUGAAUAAAUAAGGAAAAACAAUGUAGAUUCAGAACCACAAUAAAUCAUAUUAAGCUCAUGAGUUUAUAAUAUAUAUCUCUGCAGCUUGAUUGCCUUGUUAGCUAUAAACAUAACCUGUUAAUUCCAUCAUUAAUACCAUUAGAUAUAUUUUGAUGGGGGAGAUUUUUUAGUAGGAAAACAGUUGAAGUCAUUCAAGAAGACAUAAACAGCUGCAACUACGUAAGAGUUUAACUUUGAGAAUAGAUCCUUACACGUUAUUGAAAUGCCAUACUAAAGAUAAAGACAUAUAGCUAAACGUUAGACACACCAUAAAAAUAUAUAUAGGUAAAGUGAUAGGGUGUGAGUAAGGAGGCCAUGCUAUGUUUUCAAAUAAGAUUAUCAUGGUAUGAAUUAUGAGAACCCUAUUUAUAGGAAGAACAAAACCGAUAUGAAACUAAGAAUAUAGUCCAUUGAUAAUGAAGAAUCUAAGAAAUUUAAUGGAAAUUGUGGAUAAGCAUCGUGUUUUUAUCUCUGAUGGAGAAAAGCUAAGAGUGUGAGGAAGACCAACUGUCAAUGUCACCCAAACCGAAUCUACAAGUCACCACAAUGUACAGUAAUUCAAAGCAGGAAAAGUUCAUAGUUUCAGAGUAAAUAACACUUCAAUGAUUGUAUUAUAGAAAACAUGUGUAUCCUAUAUAUGUUGAACAAUAUUAUCUAACAAACAUAUUUUCCAAAAGACUAGAAAAUUUGUGAUUAAAUGCUAAAGUUACAUAUUUUAUGUAAUUAAAUUGGUUAAUUUAUGAGAGUGCACCACUAAUUUUUCCAUGUUUUUGUUGAAUUUUGUGCAGGGGUGCAAUUUGGGGCUAAAUAGAAGAAAAAGGAAACAAUUGGGCUAGAUUGAAGAGAGAAGCAAAGAAGGAGGGCCAAAACAGAAUUUUUCCAGAUUAAUUAGCUGAAAUUUUUGUUGACUUAGUGGGAGAUUAUUUUGGGAUUUUUUUUUAUAUCAUGGAAUAUUUUUCCUUAAUUUUCUAUACUAGUUGGCUUUUAAUUUAGCAAGGCCACUAGUAUAAAUAGAGGCUACAUUGUUCAUUUUAAUCAUCAAGUCUUGAAUCAAUUCAUAAAUCAAGCUUUCAUCUUUCAAUACAUUCUCUCUUUUCUACUCACAAAUUUAUUUGUUGUUUUUAGUUUCAUUUACUUUCAAUCCAUUAAUUUCCAGCUUGUUACCACUUAAACCAUUUUCAAUUUCUUUUUCAAACUUUCUUUCCAUCUCCAGUAGCUAAUUCACUUUAUUACACCCCCAAAAUUCCAGCCCCCCAAACUAAAUCACGCCACCCAUUCCUUUCACCCAUUUUACCUUAUUUAAUUUAUCCAAUACCAACAUGCCCCAAACCUUAGCCAACUAAAUUCAUUUCCAGCUUUAGGUCGGAAUUAGCCUCGUCAAAACCCGUGAGUUACGAACCCGAGCAAAUUAACUCCUAAAUUUUAGUACUUAUUAUUUCUCCGGAUUAAGAGUAUGAUUUUGUCAACUCACAAAGUCAGAUCAACAUUAAGUUAAAAAAGACGUCGUUUGAUUUAGUGUGGUUAGACGUACAGUUGGAAUUCCAAAAAGAUCGAUUCUAAUCGGUUUUCUGUGAACACAUUGGCGUGCCAAUUGGAGAUUGCUGUUUGGUUCCGUCAAGGGAAGUAGUAACCCGAUUUAAAUGUCCCACGCGGUUGAGGGCAUUGGUUCGAGCUAGGGUUUUCUAGAACGCAAAGCUGCCGGAGUUCUAAAUCACGAACAUUUCGUGGUUGUUCGAUCAGUAAGGGUUAGUUAUUGGACGUUCCAUAACUAAUUUACACAAGGAAGAGUUAGUGUCUGAGGCGUCCUUGGUAGCUAUAACUAGCUUAUUGGAAAAGAGGAGUUCAUCUAAUUUUGAGAAUCGGUUCAAAGACGAGGAAAAUUCGUGCCUAAAGCUGAGCUUAUUCUAAUUAAAUUUUCUUCAUAUUUAUUUAACUAUUUUAAUUAUUCUGUUUUCAACUUUAUCUUUUCACGCAUUUUAUUUAUUUAUUUCAGGUCUUCAAAUUUUAUCCCCCCGAACUUCUUGGGCACGACAACUGCCCCAACAUAAAUCUGGUCAAAAUAGAAACAAUUUGCAGUAAACCCAGUCUCUGAGGGAUCGACCCUACUCCCUAUACUGUUUAAAUCGCAAAUUAGGCGUAGGUUUAUAUUGGUGGAUUCGACACCCAUCAAUUUGUAUGUCAUUUUCUAUUACUUGCAAGAAAACUACAGGGGAAAUUGCAUUUCUAAUUCAUCCAUAGGCUUUAAAUUCAAACAAGAAAAAGGAAAAAGAAUAUAUAUAUAUCAACAGGAAACUUCAAGGAGAGAAAUUUUGUUACAUCAAUUUUCCAGUCAUAUUUAAUCUUUACCCAAAGUUGAUUCUAGAUUAAAUUUGGAAAAAAUUAAAAAAGAGGACAUGUAUUUUUUUUUAUUUUUGAAAAGUAAAGGAUUAUAUCUCAGCCAAAUAAAAAAGUCACAAUGCAAAGCCAAGAGCCAAAGCCAAGCCAAGCACACACUCAACUAGCAGACAUAACUCAUACAGGACCUAGAUGUAUUAUUGAACUCUUAUAUAAAAGACAACUGAAGAUGCAAAGCUUAAUUGUUAAGCUUUUCUGAUGCUUGAUAAGCAUAGUUUUAGUUCAGUUCCGAAAUCUAAACUGCUUUGCUAUGGGAUUAUUUUUAUAAGUACAUUGAGAUCAAUGCAUGCUAUUGCGAUUUAUUAUCUUUGAUGCCAAGGAAAUGACAGAAUUCAAAGACCAAAAGGUUCGAUUACAUACUAGAUCAUGGAUGUAAGCCAAUCUACAACCUCUCUCCUCGACCUCCAUGUGAAACCAGCAUGAUUUGAAUUCUCAGCCGCAUAUACCCUCACAAACUCCUCAGCAACAACAUAAAACAUAUACCUAACACUCCUUUGAGAACCGAUAACUGCACAGACAGAUUCACUAAUGGAAGCCUUCAAGAAAUAUUGAACCACACAAUUACCACACUUCUGUGAAAUAAACUUGUUGGUGCAAAGAGACAACAAUAGACUGUUUUCAAUCUUGCUUGUAUAGCAAGCCUCGAGCCUUGCUGAAGAAACAAACUCAAAAGCAAGAACAGAAACACAUGCGAAUGAAAAACAAAAGAAAUUGAGAGAGAGAGUAUUUUGAAUGAAAAGAGCUGAUAUUUCAUUAACAAAUCCAGAAGGCAUAAUGCCAUUACAUAUAAUAGAUAACAACAACAAAAUGAACAAGUCUUUACCUAAUGACAUACCUAACACCACUAAAUUUACAUUGGAAAUUGUUAAUCAGCUUGCUUAAGUUUCUUUGCUGAUUUUUUCAGUCAAUCAAUCAACAAAAAACAUCAUAAGGUUUACCAACUUAGUUCAACAUGAACUAGAUUACAAAAUAAUAAUUAAAAAUACAAUCAAAACAUAACAAGUAGUUAGGCAACUUUAAGCUCCAGUUUCUGCACUUCAUAGCUCGACUGCUUGCUGCCACUUCUCCUUGCAUGGCCACCUUUGCAUGUCUUGCAUGGGAACUAAAUUCAACACUCCUCCUUAGUUUCCAUGCUAGUGACACCUAAUUGCCUUCUUAAUUUAACAAAUUUAGACACAUUGAGUGCCUUUGUAAAGAUAUCAGCAAUUUGCUCUUCUGAAUUGCAAUGAACCAGCUCGAUUUCAUGAGCUUGCUCCAUCUCCCUUAUGACAUGUAGCUUGAUGUUGAAGUACUUUGCUCUACCAUGAAAGAUAGGAUUCUUUGCAAUUGCAACAGCAGAUUUGUUGUCACAGUAAAUCUCUGUUGCCUUUCCUUGAUUUUGAUUUAAAUCAGCUAGGAUUUUUCUAAGCCAUAUGGCUUGAUUUACAGCAGAUGCAGCAGCAACAUAUUCAGCUUCUGCUGUUGACUGUGCUACCAGACUUUGCUUUUUAGAACUCCAGCAAAACAUGCCUGAGCCAAGACUAAAGGCAUAUCCAGAUGUGCUUCUCAUGUCAUCACAAGAUCCAGCCCAGUCACUAUCAACAUAGCCUAUUAGCUUCAUGUUUAUAGCCCUUUUGAACAAUACACCAUGAUCAAUGGUGCCUUUGAUGUAUCUAAGCACUCUUUUAGCUGCUUGAAAGUGCUGAUCAUUGCAGCAAUUCAUGUAUCUGGAUAGCACACUAACAGCAAACAUGAUAUCGGGUCUUGUUGCAGUCAAAUACAACAGACUACCAAUGAGACUUUUGUACAUAGUCUCGCAAAUUGGUUCACCACUCCCUUGCCUCGAAAGCUUCACUCCAACAGCCAUUGGUGUGCUUGUUGGCUUGCAGUUCUUCAUAGAGAACUUAUCCAGGAUCUUCAUAGUAAAAGAACUCUGACUAAGAAAGAUUCCCUUUGCUGUUUGCUUCACUUCCAUUCCAAGGAAGUAGUUCAUUCUGCCUAAAUCAGACAUUUCAAACAUUUCCAUCAUUUUUCUUUUGAAAUCUUCCAGCAUUCUUCUAUCUCCUCCAGUCACCAAUAAAUCAUCAACAUAGAGUGACAGGAUAAGCUGAGUUUCAGCUUGGUUCUUCUUCACAUACAGUGUUGGUUCACUGAGACUUCUCUCGAAUUCCAAACUGAGCAAGUAAGAAUCAAUUCGAGCAUACCAGGCUCAAGGAGCCUGUUUUAGGCCAUACAAAGCCUUUUUCAGUCUGUACACCUUGUGUUCUUUGCCAGUGACCACAAAUCCUUGAGGCUGUUCGAUGUAGAUCUCUUCUUCCAGGAAACCAUUGAGAAAUGCAGACUUAACAUCAAGCUGAUGAAUGGUCCACUGAUGUUGAGCAGCCAAGGCAACUAUCAUUCUAACUGUGUCAAGCCUGGCUACUGGUGCAAAUGUCUCCAGAUAGUCCAGACCAUACCUUUGGCUAAAACCUUUGACAACAAGCCUGGCUUUUAGCUUGUUCAGACUGUCAUCUGCAUUCUGUUUUGCUCGAUAGACCCAUUUUACUCCAAUGGUCUUCUUUCCAGUAGGUUUAUCAACUAGCUCCCAUGUCUGGUUCUUCUCAAUCAUGUUGAUUUCAUCGACCAUAGCUAGUUUCCAGCCUUCAUCUGCCUCAGCCUCUUCAAAACUGCUAGGUUCUGCUAUUGCAACCUGUGCCCUUUCAUAAAUAUCAUCUAGGGGCCUUGUGCCUCUCACAAGCACAUCAUCAACAUCCAUUUCAGGUCCUAGCUGCUCAAGUUCAGCUUGAUUAGGCACCAGGUCUUCUGAAGCAGCUUCUGGUUCAUUCUUUUCCCAAUUCCAACAAGCCUUCUCAUCGAAGAUGACAUCUCUGCUCACUUGAACUAUGUUUGUCAAAGGAUCCAGCACCCUGUAGCCCUUCUUAACUGAGCUAUAGCCUACUAGAACACCUGGUUGAGCCCUUUCAGAGAGCUUGUCUCUCUUAACUGCUGGUAUUUGUGCAUAACACAGGCAACCAAACACCUUCAGAUGUACCAAGGAAGGCUUGAAACCGGACCAAGCCUCGAAAGGUGUUUUGGAUGCAAGAGCUUUGGUAGGAAGCCUAUUUUGAAGGUAGACAGCAGUGUUUACUGCCUCAGCCCACAUGGUCUUGGGCAGUUUCUUCUCAAACAGCAGGCACCUGGCCAUAUCCAUCAAGCUUCUGUUCUUUCUUUCUGAUACCCCAUUCUGCUGAGGUGUGUAGACAUUUGUAAGCUGGUGUUUGAUACCAGCAUCAUUGCAAAUGGCUUGAAACUGAGCUGAAGUGUACUCAGUGCCAUUGUCUGACCUUAUCGAUUUCAGCUUGCAACCUGUUUCUGUCUCUACAGCAAUUUUAAACUUCACAAACACUUGAGCUACCUCAAACUUGUGUUUUAAGAAGAAAAUCCAGCAAAACCUUGUAAAAUCAUCAAUGAAGAGGAUGAAAUACCUAUUUUUCUUGAGUGAUUCAGUCCUCAUCGGGCCACAUACAUCAGAGUGCACCAGCUGUAGUUUUUUAGUAGCUCUCUAAGCUGAAUUUGUAGGAAAUGGCAGUCUUGCCUGUUUCCCCAUCUGGCAAACUUCACACACAUCAUCAUGCUCCACUGAGCUAGUAAAGUUCUCUGCCAAGCCUUCUUUGGCCAUUCGAGCCAAUGAUCUGAAGUUGGCAUGCCCAAGCCUUUGAUGCCAAAGCUUGGAAUCAUCAACAGAGGCUGUAUAUGCAGACUUUGAGUCAUUUGGCCAGUGUACCUCAAAGCAUUUGUUAGUCAUUGUGACUGUCAUAAGGCUUGAUCCACUUGGAUCAGCAAUGUGGCACUGUUUGUUCUUGAACACAACAGAAUAGCCUUUCUUGAGCAAUUGAGCUAUGCUGAGAAGGUUUCUGUCGAUUUCUGGCACUAACAGCACAUUUGGAAUGAUCUUGUUGCCUGUGGGGGUACAUAUCAGCACCUCUCCUCUUCCUUCAGCCCUUAUGAACUGACCAUUUCCAACCUUGACCUUGGUUUUACAACUUCUAUCCAAGGUUUUAAAUAAGGAGGCAUCUGGUGACAUGUGGUUAGUGCAACCACUGUCCAAUAACCAGCCUUUUGAGCAUUUCUUCUCAGCAGCUAAGAAAGAAACAGCAAAGACCUGCUCUUCUUGAUCACUACUGUCCUCAGCUACUCGAGCUUCAACCUUUGGUUGUUGAAAUUGACUCUGCCUUGACUUGGUUUUAUUUUUGCAAACCCUUUCAACAUGGCCUUUCUUCUUGCAGUGUUGGCAUACUGCAUCUGGCCUGAACCAGCAUCUGUCUUCUGGAUGACCUGGCCUCUUGCAAUGUCUGCAGGGCUGGUCAUUGCUCCUUGCAGUAUCAGGCUUAGGCCUGCUUUUCCAAGGCUUUUUACCUCUUGGAGCAUUGAUGCUCGAGGCUUCUCUGGCCUUGGCAUUGAAUGCACCUUCCUGGUGGUCUUCAGCUCUGCUAGCUCUCCUUUGUUCCUGAGCAUAGAAAGUGUUGAUUAGCUCAGUCAAAGAGAUGGUAGCAAGGUCUCUUGAGUCCUCAAGAGAGGAUAUCUUGGCCUCAUAUCUCUCAGGCAAAGUGGAGAGAACUUUCUCUACUAUCCUUGCCUCAUCAAAGUGCUCACCAAGGAGCCUUAUACUGUUAACCACUGCCAUGAUUCUAUCUGCAUACUGCUUCACUGUUUCUUCUUCCUUCAUCUUCAGGUUCUCAAAAUCCCUUCUCAAAUUCAAUAGCUGUUGUUGCCUUGUUCUCUCAGUGCCUUGAAACUCCUCCUUAAGCUUAUCCCAUGCCUGUUUUGGAGUCUCACAGGCCAUAAUUCUGGUGAAGAUGACAUUUGACACACAAUUCUGAAUGCAGGACAUGGCUUUGUGCCUUUUGGUCCUCUCAUCAGCAUGUUGCCUAAUCUGAGCUACUGUGGGAUUGGCCCUCAGUGGUGCUGGCUCAGCAUCUGUGUUGACAACUUCCCACAGAUCAAAGGCCUGUAGGUAAGUCUUCAUCUUGACCAGCCAUAUGUGAAAGCCUUCUCCAUUGAAGACUAGUGGGGCUGCUGGUGAAAAACUUGAGGAAGACAUUCAGCUUUCUUAGUUUGAUAAAACAGGUCCACUAAGAAUGAAGCUCUAGAUACCAAUUGUUGGUGCAAAUAGACAACAACAGACUGUUUUCAAUCUUGCUUGUAUAGCAAGCCUCGAGCCUUGCUGAAGAAACAAACUCAGAAGCAAGAACAGAAACACAUGCGAAUGAAAAACAAAAGAAAUUGAGAGAGAGAGUAUUUUGAAUGAAAAGAGCUGAUAUUUCAUUAACAAAUCCAGAAGGCAUAAUGCCAUUACAUAUAAUAGAUAACAACAACAAAAUGAACAAGUCUUUACCUAAUGACAUACCUAACACCACUAAAUUUACAUUGGAAAUUGUUAAUCAGCUUGCUUAAGUUUCUUUGCUGAUUUUUUCAGUCAAUCAAUCAACAAAAAACAUCAUAAGGUUUACCAACUUAGUUCAACAUGAACUAGAUUACAAAAUAAUAAUUAAAAAUACAAUCAAAACAUAACAAGUAGUUAGGCAACUUUAAGCUCCAGUUUCUGCACUUCAUAGCUCGACUGCUUGCUGCCACUUCUCCUUGCAUGGCCACCUUUGCAUGUCUUGCAUGGGAACUAAAUUCAACAAAACUCCUUCUGCCACUCGAAACAAUGACCAUUCCAAACAUUUUGAUAGACAAUACACAAUUUGCUUCACUACUUACUCACAUAGCCAAAAAAUAUCCAAUGAAACUGGCAAAGGGUUCUUCCAAAAUGGUACAUUAGCUGCCAAAAAGACAACCACCAUAUAUUCCUUCAUUCAGUAAACAGCUUCAAUAUGGAAAUAAGUUAUUAUCUUAAAAAUGCUUUUUCUACCACAGAAGAAUAAGAACUAGGCAUCUCAGAAAAUUUGCUAAAUUAAUGACUUUGCUCCCUUCAAAAUAAACAAAUGAUUAACUGCAUUAUCCCAAAGAGGUCACCAUCAACCUCCAGUUGAACUUUCAAGGAAUAAUAAUAAAAAAUAGAAGGAAAUAAGGGGGAAAAAACCCAACCAGAACUCAGUAAUAGCUGAGCCUUGAAGAUCUGUAGGUAGUAAGAGAAAAACCCCAUGACGACUAAAGUCCAGGCUUGAAAGAACCAAAAGGGAGCAACAUAUGACUAUGAUUCACUGGACCAAGAGAAUCACCAAUGAAUAAAGGAAAAAGGGUACUUUCCUUUAUACCUAAACAUACAAUAUUUAGCCUCAAAAUGGGAAAAUUUCAGGUUUUCACAAAGGGUUUAAGAAAGAGGGUGAAAGUUAAAGAACUUGUCUUUGUUUUGAUGUGUGGUACACGAGAUAGUGAAGGAAAAUAGAGGUGAGGAAAUAAGAUGGAGUAAGUGCCUAAGUGGUGAAAAAGGAGAGCCUAAAAGAGACAUUUUUGAAGGGUAGUUUAGAAGCUGCAGAGGCUUUGGCAUACAGCAGCUGAUAAUGAGAGAAGACAAACCAGAAAUGUAAGUACGACGACGAUAAAAAUUAAAAAAUUUUAAGAAUUAAUGAAAUAAAAUUUUGUAGCUUAGCGAAUUGGGACGAAGUCCACCAGUGUGAUGCCCAUAGAUCCAUACCUGGGAUUUUUCUAUUUGGGCUAACUUUCUAACUUCUCCCACCAGUCUUAAAACUUUGCAGAUUUUUUCAAUUUGAUCUGGAUUGUAUGAUAACAUAUCACUUUGAGAUUGGAAAAAAAAUUAUUUUUUUUAAAUUAGAGAAAAAAUAAAGAAACUAAAUUUCAAGCAUGCAAAGUACAAAAGAAAGAACUGUAUUAAUAAAAGAUGAGUUACUUCACUCAGAUUGGAGUACCCUUUAAACAAGUUUAUUCUUGUAGAGAAAGAAACUGGAUUUUGAUUUCAUUUGCUGUGGCAAAAUUUUUAAUUUCAACAACAGUAUAACAUAUUGAAAGCCUGCCUACAUCUCGGCAGAAAAAUUUACAAAUUCUUUCAUCAGACAAUUUAAAUGAUGCAAUGCAAAGAUUCAUCAAUGUAUGAUCUUUUUAUCAUAAAUGGCUGUUUUACUGGAAAACUUGAUAUGUACUGUCUUUCACAUUCUUUUGUGCUGAAUGGUCUCUGAAAACUGCAAUCAUCAACUAUAGAUAACCCAUUCCUCAGCGCCGCCAGAGCCGACCUUGUUGUUUCUGUUCUUGAACUUGCCUGUGUCAUCAAAGGCAGUGAGCAUUUAUCAAUGUUAUAAAAAUGGCAUAUCGAAGUCAGAUUUUACUUGACAAUACACAAAUGUAAGAAGAUAAUUCACCUUUGAUACUCUUUAGAACGCUCGAGAAACUCUUUCGCGAUGUCUUUUCUUUAAUAUGAUUGCAAUACUUGUCUGAUAUCAGCCGGACCAUUGUGUUAGUACAAAACUCCGGUAAGGAAAAAAACUCGAACACACGAUCGGAACUCGAAAAGAAAAAGAAGAAAUAGGACAGGCUCCAAGGCGUGUAUCAAGCCACUAUCUUUAAGGUUAUAUUCGCCCCCACUUAUCUUCAGUGUGCAAACGAGUUCCAAGCAAAUUAACCUCGAGGAUACAAUGAAGCCAAUGACUAUUUGCGUUUUGCACUGACGAGAAUAGUCCACUAUACACUAAGUAAUGUAUAACAAAAACUCAAUUUCUACAAAGGAUUUCUGCAGCAAUACUUUAUAGAAUAAUCUAAUAAUAUUAGAAAAUGAAGGAAGAGAAGAAAUAAUAUUAGAAUUUGUUGAUAUGAUUUCCAAAUGAAAUCCCAUUCCUAUUUAUAGGAAUUUUCAUGUCUCUUCAUAGAGACAUCUUUCAAUAGGUGUCUUUAUGAAUAAAUAAAUAAUAAUAAUUAUUCAUUUAAUUUUGUAACUAUUCAAAUAAUAUUUUUUGAAUAGUUAUAAUUCUUUUUUAAAAAAUCAAAUGAUAUAACUUUUGACCAAUGACCAAAAGUUUUAUCUUUUGAUUAAUUACACCCAUUCAUUUAUAGUUAUUGGGAUACUAUAAAUAUUUGAAAAUAUUCCAACAAUCUCCCCCCAUUUUCAAAAUAUUUAGAUUUUGAUAUUCUUGGAAAUCAAUUUGCAUAAAUAAAGGUGUCUUACGAUUGAACCUUCACUUAGUGAAAACAUGUUAAAGUUAAUCGAAAUUGUAUGGUAGACUAAGCUUUGAACCAACUAUUCCAUUUGAUUAAUUGAACACAUCUCACACAAUGAUUUCAACAUCAGUCAAUGCAUAGUAUCUAGGGACACUAUUAUAGCCAUGUGUCUAUGUCCUCUUUUCAUGAGUGCUGUCAGAGCCAAGCCCUUAAGCUCCUAGAAGCGGCCACACUUCCACUCACAUAGGUAGAUCCCAUCAAAAGUGUUCCCGUAAUUAUAACACUCUAACAUAUUUAUGUUAUGGGUCCAUUAAGAGUAAAUUACUCAUCCUUCCCUUAUCAUUACGGGUACCUAGCACUUUAAUCUUAGGAUGGAUUUAUUUAUAGUGCUAACAGUCACAUACUAAUGAUGUACUUUGUCUCAUUGAACUCAAGACUUGACGUUAUACCAAGCAUUGAGUCGAGUUUCCAUCAUGGGUGACUCUAAUUAAUAGGCUUGAGUCCCAUCCCUUUUGAGGUCCUUUUUACUGCAUCUCUAGCAAGACUUUUUGUCAAAGGAUCUGCCAAAUUUUCACUUGACCUCACAUAAUUAAUAGUGAUCACUCCAUCAGAGAUUAAUUGUCGGACAUAACUAUGUCUUAAUCCAAUGUGUCUAGACUUUCCAUUAUAUACUUGGCUAUAUGCCUUUGCUAGAGUAGCCUCACUAUCACAACGGAUAGAAAUAGGUGAAAUUGGCUUAAGCCAUAAACGUACAUCAUAAAGCAAAUUUCUUAACCAUUCUGCUUCUUUAGAUGCAGCGGCUAAUGCAAUAAAUUCUGCUGCCAUGGUGGAAUCAGUAAUACAUGUUUGUUUCUUGGAACCCUAAGAAAUGACUCCUCCACCAAGAAUGAAGAUCCACCCACUAGUAGAUGCAUGAUCUUCCAAACUUGUAAUCCAACUAGCAUCCGAAUACCCUUCUAAAACUGGAGGAUAUCCAUUAUAACACAAUCCAUAGUUAAUAGUUUUCUUUAAGUACCUAAGUACUCUAUUUAAAGCUUGCCAAUGCAAACUACUUGGAUUAUUUGUGUAUCUACUCAAUUUUCCAAUAGCAUAUGCAAUAUCUGGUCUUGUACAAGUCAUUAUGUACAUAAGAAAACCAAUUGACUUGCAUAUUUCAAUUGAUCAAUUUUCCUACCAGCAUUAGAUACUAAUUUUAAUUGAGGAUCCAUGGGUGUAGAUACUGGUAUACAGUUGAAAAUAUCAAACUUUUUAAGCACAUUUUCAAUGUAAUGUGAUUGUGAUAAAGCUAUAGUGCUUUCAUCUCGGGUUAUUUUAAUCCCAAGAAUAACAUCUUCUACACCCAUAUCCUUCAUAGCAAAGUUGUUUGACAAGAAUUUCUUUGUGUUUUCUAUUUGUUCCAAAUCCGUGCCAAAAAUGAGCAUGUCAUCUACAUAUAAGCAAAUUAUAACACCCUUUCCAUUAUCAAAUUUACUAUAUAUGCACUUAUCGGAUUCAUUUAUUUAUAGCCAUUAGCUAAAACAACCUUGUCAAACUUUUGGUGCCAUUGUUUUGGUGCUUGUUUAAGCCCAUAUAAAGAUUUAACAAGCUUACAUACCUUAUGCUCUUGUCCUGGAACAACAAAUCCUUCCGGUUGCUCCAUGUACACUUCCUCUUCCAAUUCACCAUUUAAAAAUGCAGUUUUAACAUCCAUUUGGUGAACAACCAAAUUAUAUAUAGAGGUAAGUGAUAUUAAUAGUCUAAUUGUAGCAAUUCUUGCUACUGGAGCAUAGGUAUCAAAGUAAUCAAUACCUUGUCUUUGUGUAAAACCUUUUGCUACCAACCUUGCUUUAAAUUUAUCAAUGGUUCCAUCGACCUUCAUUUUCUUUUUGAAGAUCCAUUUACAACCUAUUGGUUUGGAACCUGGUGGAAGAUCAACUAAGAUCCAAGUUUGAUUUCCCAUUAUUGAAUCCAUUUCAUCAUUUAUUGCUUCUUUCCAAAAAGUAGAGUCUUGAGAUUUCACUGCUUCUUCAAAUGUAACAGGAUCAGAUUCGGUAUUAUAACAAUAAGGUAUCUUAUUGCAUAUACUUUCACCUUUUCCUUCUAUAAGAAACAUAAUGAAAUCUGGUCAAAAAUCUUUGACCUUUUUAAUCCUCUUACUUCUUCUUAAUUCUUGACAAGAUUCAUCAUUAUUAUCAAUUUGUUUCAAUGGAAUCUCAUUCUCAUUUGAAGAAUGAAUCAAUUGUUGUGGUUGUAAUUGUCUUGAUAUAGAAUUAAAUCUAUUUUCAUCAAAAAUAGCAUCUCUUGAUUCAAUAACCGUAUUAAUUGAAAUUGAAUCAUUUGGUUCAAUUACUAUGAACCUAUAUGCCUUGCUAUUAUGUGCAUAACCUAUAAAUAUGCAUUCAAUUCCUCUUUCACCUAACUUUUUACGUUUAGGUGUUGGAACUUUUACAAUAGCUCUACAACCCCAAACCUUUAAAUAAUUAAGGUUUGGUUUCCUUUUCUUCCAUUGUUCAUAGAGGGUUAUUUUAGUUUCCUUAUUAGGAACUCUAUUCAAUAUAUGACAAGCUGUUAGAACAGCUUCUCCCCAAAAACCCUGUCCAAGACCUGAAUAUGAUAACAUUGAAUUUACCAUUUCAAUCAAGACUCUAUUUUUCCUUUCAGCUACACCAUUUUGUUGUGGUGUGUAAGGGGCUGAAACUUGAUGGACAAUUCCAGUGAGUUCAAAAUAACUUGGAUUAUAGUAUUCUCCACCUCUAUCCGAUCUUAAGCACUUGAUAAAUGAUUCACACUGAAGUUCAACUUCAGAUUUAUAAACUUUAAAUUUAUCAAGCGCUUCAUCUUUUGAAUGCAAUAAAUAUACAUAACAAUAUCUAGAACAAUCAUCAAUAAAAGUAACAAAAUAUUUCUUUCCACCUAAUGUAGGAGUAUUAUGCAAGUCACAUAAAUCACUAUGUAUCAAAUCAAGCAAUUUUGUUUUCCUUUUAACCUUAGGGAAAGGAUUUCUUGUAAUUUUAGUCAACAUACAGGUAUUGCAUUUUUCAAUAUUAUUAUUAAAAACAGGAAUUAAAUCUAAUUUAUACAUGUCAUUCAAUUUUCUAUAAUUCAAAUGACCUAAUCUAUAAUGCCACAAACAAAAUGAUUCAACCAUAUAAGCAGAAAUAGUAUUUUUAUUCUUAUUAAUAAUAUUAAGUUUGAACAUGCUUUCAUACAUAUACCCUUUUUCCCACAAAAAUUCCUCCCUUAGACAAAAUAAACUUAUCUGCCUCAAAAACAAGUUUGAAACCAAACUUAUUCAACAGACUUCCAGACACUAAAUUUUUCCUAACUUCUGGUACAUAAUAUACAUCAUUUAAGGUUAAAACCUUUCCAGAAGUGAAUUGUAGUUCAACAGACCCUUUGCCUUUAAUUUGCGGUGGAAGAAUUUCCCAUGUACAAGACAUUGUCAUUUUCACAUUGUGUGACUUUGUGAACAUGCUUUUGUCUUUGCACACAUGUUUGGUUGCUCCGGUAUCAAUCCACCAUGUAUUAUCAUCUUGUACCAUAUUAAUUUCAGAUAUCAUUGCAACGAACUUUUCGUUAUUAUCAGCCUUAGAAGAUGAUUUCUUCUUUAAAAAUCGAUAUUCAUUCUUGAAAUGUCCCGGCUUUCCACAAUGAUAGCAUGAGCCCUUUUGUUUCUUUUUGAACUUAGGUGCUCUAUCAGCCUGAUUGAACUUUCUUUUGAAUGGUUUAGUAGUCUGUACUUCCUCCGUAACAUGUACUUUGGCAUUUUCAGAAUUUAGGUUCUGAUCUUGUUGUCGAUACUCUUCUUCAAUACGAAGAUGAUUUGCCAAAGCCUCAAGAGAUAUUUCCUCUUUCUUAUGUUUUAGACUUCUUUUAAAGUCUUUCCAAGAUGGAGGAAGUUUGUCUAUUAUAGAGGAUACCACAAUUAUUUCAUCCAUUUUCAUAUCAUAUUGCUUAAAUUGAUUCAACAUCUUUUCAAUAUCACGAAAUUGUUCCAUAACAGAACGACCAUCAACCAUUUGAUAAUUAUUGAAACGACUGACAAGAAAUUUCUUACUUGUAACAUCUUCGGUCAUGUAUCUUGCCUCCAAUUUGUCCCAUAAAUCUUUAGCGGUGACGUCGUUUUGGUAGGUGUCGAACAAACCAUCAGAUAAACCAUUCAAUAUGUGGCCCAUGCACAUGUAAUCAGCAUUGUCCCAUUUUUGUCUUUCUCGGGUUGCAGCAAUAGAUUCGUUUUCAUUCUCUUCAGGUCUUGGAGUAUCCAAAACAUAAGCAAUCUUCAAAGUUGAUAACAAAAAGUGCAUCUUUUUCUGCCAUCGUCGAAAAUUGCCACCAUCAAAACGAUCAAGUUUAACAAAGUUGGAAGCCAACUCCCUUAGUGUUCCACUUUCAUGUGUUGUGGUAGUCAUCAUGAAAUAUAACCUUAAAAUUGUUAGUACAAAACUCCGGUAAGGAAAAAAACUCGAACACACGAUCGGAACUCGAAAAGAAAAAGAAGAAAUAGGACAGGCUCCAAGGCAUGUAUCAAGCCACUAUCUUUAAGGUUAUAUUCGCCCCCACUUAUCUUCAGUGUGCAAACGAGUUCCAAGCAAAUUAACCUCGAGGAUACAAUGAAGCCAAUGACUAUUUGCGUUUUGUACUGACGAGAAUAGUCCACUAUGCACUGAGUAAUGUAUAACAAAAACUCAAUUUCUACAAAGGAUUUCUGCAGCAAUACUUUAUAGAAUAAUCUAAUAAUAUUAGAAAAUGAAGGAAGAGAAGAAAUAGUAUUAGAAUUUGUUGAUAUGAUUUCCAAAUGAAAUCCCAUUCCUAUUUAUAGGAAUUUUCAUGUCUCUUCAUAGAGACAUCUUUCAAUAGGUGUCUUUAUGAAUAAAUAAAUAAUAAUAAUUAUUCAUUUAAUUUUGUAACUAUUCAAAUAAUAUUUUUUGAAUAGUUAUAAUUCUUUUUUAAAAAAUCAAAUGAUAUAACUUUUGACCAAUGACCAAAAGUUUUAUCUUUUGAUUAAUUACACCCAUUCAUUUAUAGUUAUUGGGAUACUAUAAAUAUUUGAAAAUAUUCCAACACAUUGCGGGCUACAUCUGUGAACAAAUCAAAACAAAUGGUACUAUAAUCAACAAAUGAAUAUAGGAAACAUAAAAUUUGAACAAAGGCGAUGUGCAGAGGAAAAAGCAACAACAUAAGACUUACAUUCAAGAAAUGGAAUAAGGUCUAAAAGUGCGGUAUCAUCAGUCUCGACCUUAUAUGGCUUAAUAUGGACACAAUUUUCUGGUUGAAGGCUAGAAUCAAAUGCAUGAGCACUCACAUAUAAAAUCUUGGUUGGAUCCCUGUUUAGCUUUGAAAGAUCCUGCCAACAGGAACUAUUUGUUAACAAUAAGGCUUCUUUUUAAGUAGCAGCUUGUAAAGGCACUGUCUCAUAUAUUAAUUCACAUAGUAUUGUAGAAACUAAGGAGGAGAAAACCAAAAGCAAAAUGUUUUGAAGGGAAGAGAUUGACUAUGACAUGGUAAAAGUAUCAUGGAGGCCCCUAUGUUAGGAGUUAGAUUGCCUUUUGCCCCCUUUACUCAAAAACUGGAUAAAUUAGUCCCUAUAUGUUAGAUUAAAGAGUAAGCUAGACUUUCUGUUAAAAAUUUCAUCCAUUGCUACUGUUAAAAACUGGUGCAGUUGAUAAAAUAACCAAACAGUUACACAUAAUGUGUCACGUGUACCUCAUGCUAAUGUAUAUGGACCAAUUUUUAACAGUAGAAAUGGAUGGAACUUGUAACAGAAGGGCUGGUUUGCUUUUUAAUCUAAUUUACAGGGAUUAAUUUGCCCAUUUUUUUAGUAAAGGGGUGAAAUGCAAUAUGACUCCUAGUAUAAGGGCCUCCAUGGUACUUUUACCACUAUGACAUACUCUAUAAUGCUUGCCAUCCUGAUAUUUAGUAGCACCCCUUGAUAGCCUAUAUCGUAUACAAUGGUUAGUGUCCAACCUUUCACAAGCAGGAUCAACAUACCGCAUAGCCAAAAACAAAAUAAUUAUGAACUUGCAGGCAACAUCAGUUAUAGUAUAUCUGAAAAAGAUAAGGAAAAAAAACUGUUACUUUCAUAUCUAAUUUCUUUAUAGUAUUAGGACAAACUAAACAAUGGAUAUAUCACAUUAUUAAGACUUAGCUAAGGAGCCGCUGAUAUACAUUCAAAUGAUCAAUCAUAAAGGAUGAACUAGGAGGCCUAAUGAUAAAUCAAAAUUACACCUAAACCAGUUAUAUGUCUAAAGGCAAUUGCACAUUAUAUCAAUCAAACAACUAAAAUAAAUAGAGAAAAUCCUUUAAAAUAUUCAAUUUCUAAACAAAAUCAAACUCACAUCAAUAGCAGAUCUUGACAAAGAAACCCAAAAUCACAAAUGAUCCUAUCUUUUUAAAAGGGGAAAAAGAAAACUUACUAUAAGAGAGAUAACCAGCAUAGCCAGUAGUUCCAGUAACACCUGCAAUGAGUCCGUACUUGACAAAGCUCUAAAUUUUCCCUCCCGAAACCUGUGGGGCAACUUUCGGCGCCAGAGGAGGAGGUGUCGACUGAUCGGAGAGAAUGGAUUGUGAAGAACAAUCCAAACUUAAUUUACAAGCAAUGUGGAAAUUUUGGACGUUGCAGUAUUGACUACGUUUACUUGAGGGAAAACAAAGACAUGAAUGCUGGAAAUUUUAACUAGUUUGUACGGUCAAUGAAGCUACCUCGAAUGUUAAAUAUGUUACUCUGCAAUGCCAUUGUAAAUAUGACUGUUAAAUUUGUUGAUAGCGGAAUUGUUCCACUCAAGUUAUUGUGGGACAAAUCAAGAAUUUGAAGAAAAGUGACAUUGCAUGUUAAACAAGAGACCUCUCCAUUGAAACUAUUAUUUGAGAUCAGAAAGACAUUGAUUGUCGAAGCUGGAAUCGGAAGAUUUCCACGGAUCAAAUAGGAGCUUAAGUCAAGAACUACAAUAUUCUUCCAUGGAAAGUGCAAAACUUCUGUCAAAGAGUUGCUGUAAUUGGAUUAAUCUCAUCGUUGCUGCAAUCUUUUGACAAAUCGAAUCUUAAAUAUGUUACUCUGCAACGCUAUUGUAAAUGUUACUCUUAAAUAUUACUCUGUAACUAGAUUGAUGGCUCAAUCUUGUUUUUAACAUUGUUAUGGGUAUUACUACUUUCAUGCUUUGAUACGCGAUACCCUCUUUCUAGGUGACAUUUUUGCUCCUUCCGGGCCACCAUGGGCUCUCUGCAUCACUCACCAACCUCAUUAGAUUCCCCGGGUGCCAUUUGGCCAUCUCAAGUCUCAAAAUAGCAUCAAAAUGCACUCUAAUAAUUUAUUAAUAUAAAGAACUAAAACAAAAUAAAAACACAACAAAGAUAUCUAAAUUGCACGAAAAUAAGCUUUUAAGUGUGAUGGAGAGUCUAAUUUGACAUAUCAAUUAAUGUUUGACUAUCUCCAUCUCACUUUUUAUUAAUUAAGGAAUAUGAAUUAGAAUUAAUAUAAACUUACUAUUUUAACAUUUCAUAAGCAAAAGCUAAAAUAAUAUUGGUCACAUCCCAUAUCUUCAUAUAUAGCUUAUCAGACAAAAGUUAAAACAGCCUUCAGUUCAUCUACAUUCUACAUUCCACGUCGAAUCUGCAAGCAUCAAAUAUUAACCUUUGAACUCCAAAAUAACAACACCAAUUUCCAGCAAUUGCAGAAGAAUGUCCAAUAAUUCCACACAAAUUAACAACAAUUUGCCAGCAUCCACUACAUUCGUAUGAAUUCCACACAAAUUAAGACUGGAAACUCUAACUUGUUCAUACCCUCAAUGAAGCUACCUAAAAGUUAUGAAUUCCACUGCAAAUUUUGUAUUGCUUGGAAUGAAUUGACUGUAAUUUCCUAUUACUUGCCACAAAAUUUUCUUUUACUGCUAACUUGUAAAAAAAUUAUGAAAAUACAACAGAGAUCAUUGAGACAUUUUGUUCUCCUUUCUCCUUUACUGAGCAGUAGCAAAGAUUAUCGAGACUAAAUUGAAAGUCAUGAAAGAAGACAUAAACAACACCACCAUACAAAAUGUUACACUCAAACAAACCAUUACAGAUAGUACGAAAUGCAAUGAAAGACACAGGAAUUGGUACAACAAUAAAGACAGACACAUACCAAUGCAACCCUUCACCAUAGGCAAAACGGUCUACAGAAUAAGAAAUUAUGAAAAUACAACACUAAUUCUUGAACAUCAUUUCCAGUAAUUAGAUCCUUCUUCGUCUAUUGCUUCGAUUGCCUUUCUUUGACUUUCUUCUUCGCCUCAUCUCUUGUUGGUUUUCAACCAAAUUCACCAACCAUUUCGGCUUACCAAUUUGGAAAACAACAUAUCCCACGGACAUUCCGAACACCACUCUGCAUCCAUAACCUAUCAACACCACUUUCCAACCAAAAGCAAUGUUUGAUUUUGAGCCAUCUUUUUCAAGCGCAUUUGGAGGUGCUGGCUCAAUGAUGUUGCAACCUUUCGAGACCGGAAACCCACACAGUCCAUUAUUCCCUUCAUAUGAAUCAUUUCCAAAUGUGUUGAAUUGUUUUCCUUGAGGAAUCUGACCAUGGAGUUGAUUUUCAGCGACAUUGAAGGACGAAAGAAAUGGCAGAUCUGCCAAUCUAUUUGGAAUCGUCCCAGACAACCUGUUUGAAGAUAGGUCCAACCAUUCAAUACUUGUCAAAUUCCCUAUUGAUGUGGGAUACCACCAUUAAGGUUAUUAUGAGAAAGGUUGAGCCCUUUCAGUAAGUUAAGCUUCCCAAAAACCUUUGGAAUACCCCCUUCAAACUGAUUGUUUGAUAGAUCAAUGAUCAUCCACAUGGUGAAAAUUUUCACCAAUUCCAUAUAUUGUCCUUUCAUAACAGUUCCGAUGGAAUAGGUAUAGAAGCCAUUACCUCUCGGAACAUACAUCCCCAUGUACGACAUUGUACUCCCAAUCUUCUCUAGAUUUAUGAUACCCUUGAAGCUGUUGAUGUAUCUCACUGGUAGGGGUCCAGAAAAAUAAUUACUUGAGAGAAAAAAAAUUUGGAUUUUAGAGAAAAAAGGGCUAGACUUGGAGCUAUUGUCACAUAAGGAACCAUGCAUAUGAUUUGACUUCAAUACAAGAACUUGUAGCUGUGGAAGACUUCCCAACCAAUGAGGAAAUGUAUCAUUGAUCUUGUUCUUCUUCAGAUUCAAGAAUUGAAGGCUGUAGCUCAAAUUUUCAAAACAUUGCGGAAUUGUUCCGCUCAAGUUAUUGUGGGACAAAUCACGAAUUUGAAGAAAAGUGACAUUGCAUAUUAAAGAAGAGACCUCUCCAUUGAAACUAUUAUUUGAGAUCAGAAAGACAUUGAUCGUCGAAGCUGGAAUGGGAAGAUUUCCACGGAUCAAAUUGGAGCUUAAGUCAAGAACUGCAAUAUUCUUCCAUGGAAAGUGCUCAACUUCUGUCAAAGAGUUGUGAGAUACAUUUAAGUCAAAGAGCCAUUGCCCACCUCUUGCAUCCACUGUGGAAUCUUGCCUUCAAUUUUGUUGCAAGAGAGGUCCAAGCUUUCCAAACUUUUAAGCCCUUAUAAAAACUGGGGGAAUUCACUAAGAUUGAAAGAUGACAAACGUAAGUCUAUAAGAUUAGACAAUAUAUGGUUAACACAAGAAGUAGUAUUAAAUGUUAAGGAUAGGCUGUUAUAUGAAAGGUCGAGAAGUUUUAGAGUUGGAAGGUUUGAGAACAUGCGAAACUCUAUGACACCACUAAGAUUAUUUGAGGAUAAAAGGAGGUGGGUAAGAUUGAGAAGUUGGAAUAUUGAAGAUGGAAGAGGACCUUGGAGUUUAUUAUUGUUUAACCUUAUCAAUUCUAGUGUUUUGGAUUGGAAUUCUUUGAUAUGCCCACUGAAUUGUUUUUAGAGAGAUCUAUUGUUUAACCACGUUAUUUUUCAGUGACGGAUCGAGAAAUAAAACUUAGGGGGAGCAGGGGCGAAGUUAGAAAAUUAGUUUGGGGUAAUCGAAAUUAAAUUAUAUAUUUUUAUGAUAGUAAAAAUAGAAUUUCGUCAUUUUAAUAGCCUAUAUCUUUAUAAUUUUUAGAGGAUUAAAUUAAUUUUUUAUCAUUUGAGGGGGGCAAAGUGCAAUUUUACCGUUAUUAAUUUAAAAUUUUAUAAAUUAUAAAUGGCCUAAAUUUUAAAAAAAAAAUCAUUUUAGGGGGUUGAGACCCUGUCAGCCCUCUCCCUAGACCCACCCCUAGUCUUUUUGAUACAAUUUGGCAGUUUAAGUACUUAAUUAGUGCAAAAAAAAAAAAACUAGGGGCUCAAUAGCUUUUUUUUGAAAAAGUUUGAGAGCCUUUUUGAUCCAUUUUGGCAGUUCAAAUGCCCAAUUCAGUGCAAGAAAAGAAGUAGGGGCUUAAUUAUUUUUUUUUAAAAAAAGUUUGAGAGCCUUUUUACACCAUUGAACCUUUUUUAUACUAAUUGGUAGACGCGAAGUUAUAAAUAUUUAAUUGUUAAUGUAAUUUUUAGAAUUUCUAAAGAAUAAUAAUAUUUAAAAUCUUAUAAUUUUUUUUAUUUCAUGUGCAUAAAAAACUUAAAUAAAUAAGUGUUUAGAUUUAGAUUAAUCACGCUGUCCAUUUAUUCAUAUUCAUUCUAGAGGUAUAACUUUUAGUUAUUUUAUAUGUUUUUAUAAUUAAAAAUAAUGGUAUAAAAGUCGAUUAAGUUUUAGCUCAAUUGACAUAGACAUUGUUGUUGAGGAGGACCUAUUGGUAGUUCUAGGCAUUGUGUCAAAAUGAACUAUAUUUGAUAAGAACCUAUAAUGAAAUUAAUGUUAAAAAAAUAAUAGUAUAAAAAGCUAAUAUUUUUAUAAAAGUUUCAUUUUUUUUUCAGUUUUUGGAUUUUUCUCAUAUAAAAUUUUAGAAUUGUUUCUUGAAUUUUUAUAGCUUUUCUUAUUAUGAUGUUAUAUAAUUUUAGAUUUUUAUACAUCUUUAAUAUUUUUUUAGUUUUUUAUUGUUUCUCAAAUAAUGCUUGGUUGAUGUAGCUUGCCAAGUGGUAUCGUGUUAUUGGCUGUCAAUUUCAAUAAUAAAAAAAUUUGGAGUUGAUUAGUUAUGAACUAACUCGAUUAAUCAAUUCUAAAUUUAAGUACUAAUUAAGUCCAAAAAAAGUUCAAAUUUCAAUUCAUGCAAGUUGGAUGGCAAUGAAACGGGAUUGGGGUGCGAAUAUUGUCAAAUUCACUAUUGUUUCAUAGUUGAUGUGUUUUGUCCCAUCACUCACCCCCGCUCCACUAUGGAUGUUUAAUUUUGAAAACCACUCACCCCAUGGAUGUUGGAUGCAUCCAUCCCUGCUUCACGUCGUGCCAUUUCAAUUUAAUUUUUAUUAGUUUUUUUAAAAAUAUUUUCAAUUUUUUUUUAAUUUUAAAAUAUUUUCAAUCUUUUUAAAACUUAUAAAUAUUUAAACAUAAUUAUUCAAGAAAAACAUUUAAACAUAAAACAUAUGAGUUUUUUAUAACAUAUUUUUACCCUUUAAUAGUUAUAAAUAUACAAGGGUCGAAUAGUAAUUUCAAAUAGUGAAAUAGAGUGGAUUGGGACAAACAAUUACCAUAACUGCUACACUUAAUCAUCGUAAAAAAAAAAAAAAAAAAUCUAUUUCAUCCCCGCCCAUAUUCCCUUUUAAAAGGAUCUACUCUAAAUGAAACAAACCAAUUCAAAAUCCAUUUAACAUCCUAAAUUCUAAAACUAAUUUUGAUAUGAAGUCUCAAUUAAAUUCAAGUAAUAAGGUUUUUUGAUAUGGUUUACACUACUAACUUCUAUAUGAAAACAACAACCAUUUCCCAUGAUGUUUGCGGCUUACCAACAAAUCCUUGCAGAUUUUCAACGUAGAAGAAAAUCAUGAAAAUAAAAAAAAAAAAAAAAAAAAAACUCUGGUUGGGAUUUGUUUCAUAUGGAAAACAGAAAACAAAACUUAAGUUAGUCAAAAUUACCAACUCACUGCUGACAACAUUUUUGUUGUAACCAAACAUUUGGAAGAAAAUAAACACAAGAGCACGCCGUUGACCUGUAUUUCUUUUAUUCUUCAAUUCUAUUUCAUCUUUAAGCUGUAACCAAUGAUAAUCAAAUCUUGACUUGCAUAAAAACCAAAGAAAACAAAAUGAAUGCAGCAGAAUUUUCUACCACAAAUGAGUAGUAAUUUACAGAUAAUAAAAUUAUCGAAAAACUAUUGAGAGUCGAAUUUCAUAUUAAUUGUGGUAUCCAUGAACUAGAAUGUAUUAAAAAAAGAAGGAUAUUGACCUUGAGACUACUUGCAAUUUUCAAAAACACUCUCAAUUCCUCUCCCCCUCUUCGGGCACCGGCCCAAGAUCCUGCCAUUGGCUACCACGCCGGCCGCUAGUCGCCAGCGCCGGCGCCGUGCAUGGAGGAGGAGAGUCCAAAAAUAUCCUUUUUUUUUUCUCACAUGCAGAUCCUCGGCCUCCAAACACUCCGACGACGGCUACAAAGGUAAAAAGGCCUCUCAUUUUUUAUUUUUAUAAUGCUUCAAAAUAAAAAAAUAAAAAAAAGGGAAAAAAUCACCUUUAAAAAAAACUGAUUCCUGUUUUUUAUUUCUCUUUGUUUUUUUUUUUCCAAAAGAGAACUCCCUUAAUUUUUCAUCUUUUUUAGCCCUUAAACCUACGUUGUUUAUCAAUAACCUUAAACUUACAUUGUUUACCGGAUGAAAAAUUUAAUAUUUAUUAACUUUGCUAAGGUGCACAUAUGCAAUUUAUUUAAAUCUAAAAACUAUAAAAUAUCUUAAAAUUAAAACUAAAAGUUUUUAAACUACUUGAUUGCUCCUUUCUCCUUUACUGAGCAGUAGCAAAGAUAAUCGAGACUAAAUUGAAAUCCAUGAAAGAAGACAUAAAACACCUCCAUACAAAGUGUCACACUCAAACAAACCAUUACAGAUAGUACGAAAUGCAAUGAAAGACAGAGGAAUUGCUACAAUAACAAAGACAGACACAUACCAAUGCAACCCUUCACCAUAGGCAAAACAAGAAAUUAUGAAAAUACAACACUAGUUCUUGAACAUCAUUUGCAGUAAUUAGAUCCUUCUUCGUCCACUGCUGCGAUUGCCUUUCUUUGACUUUCUUCUUCGCCUCUUCUCAUGUUGGUUUUCAACCAAAUUCACCAACCAUUUCGGCUUUCCAGUUUGGAAAACAACAUAUCCCACCAGCAUUCCGAACACUACUCCGCAUCCAUAACCUAUCAACACCACUUUCCAUUCAAAAGCAAUGUUUGAUUUUGAGCCAUCUUUUUCAAGCACAUUUGGAGGUGCUGGCUCAAUGAUGUUGCAACCUUUCGAGACCGGAAAUCCACAUAGUCCCUUAUUUCCUUCAUAUGAAUCAUUUCCAAAUGUGUUGAAUUGUUUUCCUUGAGGAAUCUGACCAUGGAGUUGAUUUUCAGAAACAUUUAAGGACGAAAGAAAUGACAGAUCUGCCAAUCUAUUUGGAAUCGUCCCAGACAACCUGUUUGAAGAUAGGUCCAACCAUUCAAGACUUGUCAAACUCCCUAUUGAGGAGGGGAUAUCACCAUUAAGGUUAUUAUGAGAAAGGUUGAGCCCUUUCAGUAAGUUAAGCUUCCCAAUAACCUUUGGAAUACCCCCUUCAGACUGAUUGUUUGAUAGAUCAAUGAUCAUCCACAUGGUGAAAAUUUUCACCAAUUCCCUAUCUUGUCCUUUCAUGACAAUUCCAAUGGAAUAGGUAUAGAAGCCACUACCUCGAGAAUCAUUCACCCCCAUGUACGACACCGUACUACCAAUCUUUUCUAGAUUUAUGAUAGCCUUGAAGCUGUUGAUGUAUCUCACUGGUAGGGGUCCAGAAAAAUAAUUACUUGAGAGGUCAAAAAUUUGGAUUUUAGAGAAAAAAGGGCUAGACUUGGAGCUAUUGACACGCAAGGAACCAUGCAUAUGAUUUGACUUCAAAACAAGAACUUGCAAAAAUGGAAGACUUCCCAACCAAUGAGGAAAUGUAUCAUUGAUCUUGUUGUUACCAAGAUCUAGCACUUCCAGACCAUUACAAUUAAGGAUGGAUGGUGUCAAAGGCCCUUCUAACAGAUUUCCAUUUAAGUUGAAAUUAGUCAGUUGGCAUCCCUUUGCAAAUGUUAGAGGAAUCGUCCCAUAGAACUCGUUCUUCUUCAGAUUGAAGACUUGAAGGAUGUUGCUCAGAUUUCCAAAACAUUGCGGAAUUGUUCCACUCAAGUAAUUGUGGGACAAAUCAAGAAUUUGAAGAUAAGUGGCAUUGCAUAUUAAAGAAGAGACCUCUCCAUUGAAACUGUUAUUUGAGAUCAAAAAGACAUUGAUGGUCGAAGCUGGAAUCGGAAGAUUUCCACGGAUCAAAUUGGAGCUUAAGUCAAGAAAUUCAAUAUUCUUCCAUGGAAAGUGCUCAACUUCUGUCAAAGAGUUGUGAGAUACGUUUAAGUAAGUCAAAGAGUCAUUCCCCACCUCUUGCAUCCACUGUGGAAUCUUGCCUUCAAUUUUGUUGCAAGAGAGGUCUAACCUUUCCAAACUUUUAAGCCCUUUUAAAAACUGGGGGAAUUCACUAAGAUUGCAAGAUGACAAAAAUAAGCUUCUAAGAUUAACAGUAGAUGUAGUAUUAGAUGUUAAGUAUAGGCUGUUAAAUGAAAGGUCGAGAUAUUUUAGAUUUGGAAGGUUUGAGAACAUACGUAACUCUAUGACACCACUUAGAUUAUUUGAGGAUAAAACGAGCAAGGUAAGAUUGAGAAGUUGGAAUAUUGAAGAUGGAAAAGGACCUUGGAGUUUAUUAUUGUUUAGAUAUAAAUGUUCUAGUGAUUUGGAUUGGAAUUCUUGGAUAUGCCCACUGAAUUGAUUUUGAGAGAGAAUUAUAACCUUUAAGGAGGGAGCAGUAUACAACCAUGACGGAAGUGUUCCAUUGAGUAAAUUGUCAGAUAAGCCUAAAUAUAUUAGAUUAGGAAAAGUGGUUACCUCAUCUGGAAUGGAUCCUUCUAAAGAAUUUUCAGAUAUUCCCAAGUAUUCCAGCUGGGUUAGGUUUAGAAUUGACAAUGGAAUUUGUCCACUCAAUUGGUUCUGCGACAAGUCUAAAUGAGUGAGUUGCAAGAGGUUCCCCAAUGAUAUUGGAAUUUGUCCACUCAAUUGGUUCUGCCACAAGUUUAAAUCAGUGAGUUGCAAGAGGUUCCCCAAUGAUCUUGGAAUUUGUCCACUCAAUUGGUUCUGCCACAAGUCUAAAUCAGUGAGUUGCAAGAGGUUGCCCAAUGAUCUUGGAAUUUGUCCACUCAAUUGGUUCUGCCACAAGCCUAAAUUAGUGAGUUGCAAGAGGUUCCCCAAUGAUCUUGGAAUUUUUUCACUCAAUUGGUUCUGCCACAAGCCUAAAUGAGUGACUUGCAAGAGGUUCCCCAAUGAUCUUGGAAUUUUUCCACUCAAUUGGUUCUGCCACAAACCUAAAUCAGUGAGUUGCAAGAGAUUCCCCAAUGAUCUUGGAAUAUUUCCACUCAAUUGGUUCUGCCACAAGCCUAAAUGAGUGAGUUGCAAGAGGUUCCCCAAUGAUCUGCCACAAGCCUAAAUGAGUGAGUUGCAAGAGUUUCCCCAAUGAUCUUGGAAUUUGUCCACUCAAUUGGUUCUCACACAAGUCUAAAUAAGUGAGUUGCAAGAGGUUCUCCAAUGAUCUUGGAAUUUGUCCACUCAAUAGGUUCUGUGACAAGUCUAAAUAAGCGAGUUGCAAGAGGUUCCCCAGUGAUCUUGGACCCGGUCCUGAUAAGUUGGAAUGGGAGAGAUCUAAAACCUUCAAGGACACAAGAUUCCCCAUCCAGUCAGGCAAUCCUCCAAAAAAAUUUGCGCCUCCAAGAAUCAACUACUCCAAAGAUGAUAAAUUUGUGAAUGAGACAGACAAUCCUUGAAAGAAGGAAUUUCCUGAGAGAUCUAAGUACUUUAAGGCCUGUAGAUUAUCAACUGAAUCAAUGAAUUCUGUAGAGAAGGACACGAACGACAGAUCCAAAUGUUCAAGAUUGCUGCUCCGAUUGAACUUCAAAGGAUCAAGAUUGAGGUUUUGGUUGCCUCCCAAGUUGAGGAGAUUGAGGUUUGGCAAAUCAAAAAUGUUUUUUGGGAAUUUUCCUUGCAAAUCACAAAAAGCAAGACUGAGAGACCUUAGAGAAGAGGAUAGAUUCAUGAAGACAUGAGCAUUAACAGAAGACAUGUCCAUUCCAUCCAAAAACAGAUGUCUGACCUCGGUUAGGUUGUGAACAAGUCCCUCCAGAGCAUGUUUGUCAAUUGUUUGUGCAUCACCCCAACAGGAGAGAUCAAGUGAAACCAAUUUUGACAGGUGGGAGACUUGGGAUGGGACUUCUCCUGCAAACCCUGUAUUGGAAAGGUUGAGGUAGAAUAGGCUUGUAAACCGACCUAAGUCGGAUGGAAUUUUGGAAAGAUUAAAAUCAUUGAAGGCAAGGUUGAGUUUUUGAAGGUGAGGAAGAAGGAAGAGAGUGGUAUUGGAAGGGAAGUUGCCAGAUAGCCAACUGCAGCUCAAGUCAAGGGCAAUAACAUGAGCAUUUAGGUGGUCACAAGUGACCCCAUCCCAUGAGCAGCAAUCUGUACCCUCCUUCCAUGAAUUUGUCUUGGGAUAAGAUUUAGGGCCGCAAGACGAAUAAGCAGCCUCUGUUAUGGAAAAAGAGUUCUUGAACUGGAUUAGUAAAGAGCAGGAGUGAGAUCCUGAAGAAGAAAAAGAAGCAUAAAGAUGGGGAAAGAAGAGGAAUAGGCAGAGAAAGAGACAGGGGGGCAUGUUAUGUUUGUAGAGGAAGAUGAAGGAUAGGAAUGGUAUUUAUAGGCAACAAAUAAUACAACAACAUUGGUGUUACAGUCUUUUUUAUUUUCUCGAGUUCUAUGAGUUUGUUUAAAUUCGCCGUGAAUACUCGAUUUUUUUUUACGUUUUUGAUUCAAAUACCGCUAAAAACAUUAAUCGGUUGCCAUUAAAUAUGUCAUUUUCUAUUAGCUGCAAGAAAACUAUCCGAUAAACUGCAUCUUCUUCUUUAGAUGAAAUUUUGUAAAAAAAAUUUGACAUUAUCUCUUAUAUGGUCCUUCAAUUUUAUUUAAAAAAUGAUUUUAACUCUCCAUUUAAUUUUUCAAACAAAUUAACGCAACAUUUUAGUUAUUGUCUACUGUCCAAUAAUGCCAUGUGUAUCAGUACAAACAUUCCCAUUUCUUUUUUUUUUUUUUCAUUUUCCCAAAAACUCAUUUCACUCUUAGCUUUAUAAAGAAAAAAAAAGUUAUUUUAGCCCUUAAUUUAAUUUUUCAUCUUCUUUAACCCUUAAACUUAUAUUGUUUAUCAAAUAACCCUUAAACUUGCAUUGUUUAUCAGAUGAAAAAAUUAAUAUCUAUUAACUUUGCUAACGUGCAUACAUAUGCAACCUCAUUUAAAUCUAAAAAAUAUAAAAAUAAUUAAAUAUGUAUAAAUCUAAAAAUAUCUUAAAAUUAAAACUAAAAUUUUUUAAACUAAUACAAAUUUUUAUUAUUUAAAAAAUCUUAAAAUUUUCAAAUUAAAUUCCAUUUGUUUUCCACCAUUGAAGAACACCUUCAAUCACAUCAACAACUUCAUACUAUUUUGCCUAGAAAUUGUUUUGCAAAUUUAUUUUGUUUAUUUAUUUCUAAACCCAUAUUUCUUUUCUAUAACCCCAAUGGUAGCAAAGGAAAUGUAAAAAAAAAAAAACUUAAAAAUCAAAUUUUUAAUGAUGAAGGGAAUUGAUUUAUAUUAAAACCAAGGAUUACACUGAAAAUACAAAGAGUUGAAGGUACUAAACAAGCAAAUAAACCCUAGCUACAGUGAUAAUUAACUUAACUAUCUACUAUUGGAACCAAGAAAAACUAAAAGAAAACAUGAAUUAAACCCUAGAGUUAUGAAGAAGAAAACAAAAACUCUAAAAAUAAAGAGAAAAAUUGAAAACCGUGAAAUGUUAAGUGUGCCCUUUGUUCAGCCAAUUUUUUGCCCUUUCUAGCAAAUUACAGAUCCAAAAAUAGUGACCAAAUUGUCUUUGAUGGUCUAAUUUUGGUUAGGGGGAAAAGGAUUACCCCUACGGUUAUUUUUUUGUCUCCUCCCAUCAAUGAUAUUGCGAUACCCAAAGUUUGGUAUCGCGAUAUCCACGACAGUCUUGAGGAUCCUUGGGAGUUUUGGGUAUCGCGAUACCUUAUGACCGUUAUCACGAUAACACUGUUGAUAUGCGGUACCCUCUUUCUAGGUGACAUUUUCGAUCCUUCUGAGCCACCAUGGGAUCUCUGCAUCACUCAUCAACCUCAUCAGAUUCCUCGGAUGCCAUUUGGCCAUCUCAGAUCUCAAAAUAGUAUCAAAAUGGACACUAAUCAUUUAUUAGUAUAAAGAACUAAAACUAAAUAAAAAAACGACAAAGAUAUCUAAAUUGCUUGAAAAUAAGUUUUUAAGUGUGAUGGAGAGCCUAAUUUGACAUAUCAAUUUACAACAGAUUAUAAACAUAAUUUGCGGAACCUUGUUAAAAUUUUGAUUUUCUUUAUUAGUUUCUUUCAAUAUUCUGUACGGUACAUUUGUAGUAAUAUAUUGUGCAGAUCAUAGACUACAUUGCUUUAUUAGUGUUCUAUUGUUAAUCUAUUAUUAUUAUUAUUAUUAUUAUUAUUAGCACCACUUCCUUUUUACCAUAUAAUUUUUAUUCAUAAAAAUGAAGAGUUGAUUUACUAAAGAAAGAAGAAGAAUUGAUGAGAUUAUAAAGUAUAUUGACUUGGUCUUGCUUCCUUUAUAUGUAUGAAUGUGGAAAUCGGCAUAAUGCCAACUUAUUUUCCACGCAGAGGAAGAAAAUGGUGCUCUCUUGUCACUCCCUUUAACUUGACAAAAUACAAGACAUGUGAUCCACCAAUGAAUGUUUGACUAUCUCCAUCUCACUUUUUAUUAAUCAAGGAAUAUAAACUUACUAUUUCAACAUUUCAUAAGCAAAAGCUAAAAUAAUAUUGGUCACAUCCCAUAUCUUCAUAAGACAAAAGUUAAAACAGCCUUCAGUUCAUCUACAUUCUACAUUCAUAUCAAUUGCACACAAAGUCAUAUCUGCAAGCAUCAAAUAUUAACCUUUCAACUCCAUAAUAACAACACCAAUUUCUAACAAUUGCAGAAGAAUGUCCAAUCAUUCCACACAAAUUAACAACAAUUUGUAGCAUCCACUACAUUCAUAUCAAUUCCACACAAAUUAAGACUGCAAUUUCUAACUUGUUUAUACCCUCAAUGAAGCUACCUAAAAGAUAUGAAUUUUUUAAUAUUAUAAAGUUAAGUGACCAAAACAUAAAUUUUCUACUAGAUUAGUACUUGAGGUGUAGUUUACCUUAUAAUAAAUAACUAUAAUAAAUUUGUGAAUCAAUUGCAUAAUUAAAUUAAGAUUUUCAAGCCUUUUACCAAACCAAACUUGAAAGGAGAAAAAGAAUCAUGAAAGAAUCCAGUUUUAAAAGCCUUUCACUUUUCCCAAGUCCAAUACACAAAUUCACAAGAUCCCACACUCUCAUUUAUCCUCUUCAAAAAGCAAGGUCCACAACAAAAGAUUAAUUUAGAUAUUAAUUAUUUUAUUUUAAUGGGAUAUAAUUUGAUAUUUUGUUUUUAUUUUAAUUAAGUGUGUUUAAAUUAGUGAUAUUUGUUAUAAUAAUUAAGUUAUACAUUCGGGAAGGUUGAUAAUAAUGUUCACACCAUAGAUGUUGUGAAGAGCCACUAAAAGUGACAAUUUAUCUAUGCUAAAAAGGUGUUUGAAUAGAGUAAUAUUGGACAAUGUCCUACCUCAAGACCCAAAAGGGAUGCCAAUUUAAGACCCAAGGAAGCCUUCGACUUAUCUCACUUGUGUAAGGAGCUAGAGUUAUCUCUUUACUAUUAACAACAUAAUUAAUCAUAUUCUAUAAUUCACCUUUAAGGUGUCUUAUUCACUUGUUUAGGUCAACUAUACCAAAUUCAGCAUUUUAUUUCGCCAAACCAAAAUUGUCAUUUGCCAUAUAGGGAUCGCCAAGCCUAUAAAAGCCAAAAUCUUUUCAAAGAUUUGCCUCGUUUAGCUCGAUUCUUCAAUUUAUCUUCUCAAUCUCAAUUAUUAACGUUUGUCUCUCUAACUUGCCUCCUCAAAUUUAAUCAUUAAAACUAAAUGCAUUACGUGCUCACCAUACUACAAGAACAUAAACUUAUUUAUUUCAAGAGGAUCACUUUAUAAAUUUCCAUCAAUUAGGGAAAAAUUAUUAUACCUCUAUAAGUAUAUUUUAAAAUAUGGCGAUAUUUCAAGAUAGCACCUAUCACAUUUCAAUAAAACUCAUUAUAUAUCUACCACCAUCAUAAUUAAGUAAUAGAGCAUCAUUCUAUAUGGACACACAUCAAGCUCAUUUCCUUUUAUGUUAAUUAUUCACGUAAUUCUAAUUUUCAAUUAUUUCCUUAAAUAUUAAAAAUAACUACUCUGUUAAUGCCAUGUAGCUAUUUUGAUUAAUGAUUUCCAUUUAAUUUGUUUUCCUCCUGACUUGGAAAUGUGGACUUGACAACAAAAUGAAAUUUGAGCAUGACACCUUAAUUUUGUGGUUGGUUUGACGAAUACUGAAGGUUGGUCAUCUUGAAACAUAUAUAAAAUUAAAUGAUUGAAUUAUUGAAAUUAUUAAAUAAAAUAAUUAUGAAAUUAGAAUUUAAGGUUAGAGGUUAUUUUUAGAAUUUUAAAUUUUCUUUUACUGCUAACUUGUAAAAAAAUUAUGAAAAUACAACAGAGAUCAUUGACACAUUUUGUUCUCCUUUCUCCUUUACUGAGCAGUAGCAAAGAUUAUCGAGACUAAAUUGAAAGUCAUGAAAGAAGACAUAAACAACACCACCAUACAAAAUGUUACAUUCAAACAAACCAUUACAGAUAGCACGAAAUGCAAUGAAAGGCAGAGGAAUUGGUACGAUAAUAAAGACAGACACGUACCAAUGCAACCCUUCACCAUAGGCAAAACGGUCUACAGAACAAUAAAUUAUGAAAAUACAACACUAAUUCUUCAACAUCAUUUGCUGUAAUUAGAUCCUUCUUCGUCUAUUGCUCCGAUUGCCUUUCUUUGACUUUCUUCUUCGCCUCUUCUCUUGUUGGUUUUCAACCAAAUUCACCAACCAUUUCGGCUUACCAGUUUGGAAAACAACAUAUCCCACCGACAUUCCGAACACCACUCCGCAUCCAUAACCUAUCAACACCACUUUCUAACCAAAAUCAAUGUUUGAUUUUGAGCCAUCUGUUUCAAGCACAUUUGGAGGUGCUGGCUCAAUGAUGUUGCAACCUUUCGAGACCGGAAACCCACAUAGUCCCUUAUUCACUUCAUAUGAAUCAUUUCCAAAUGUGUUGAAUUGUUUUCCUUGAGGAAUCUGACCAUGGAGUUGAUUUUCAGAAACAUUGAAGGACGAAAGAUACUGCAGAUCUGCCAAUCCAUUUGGAAUCGUCCCAGACAACCUGUUUGAAGAUAGGUCCAACCAUUCACAACUGGAUUAGUGAAGAGCAGGAGUACUGAGAUCCUGAAGAAGCAUAAAGAUGGGGAAAGAAGAGGAAUAGGCAGAGGAAGAGAUAGGGGGCCAUGUUAUGUUUGUGGAGGAAGAUGAAGGAUAGGAAUGGUAUUUAUAGGCAACAAAUAAUACCACAGUGUUACAGUCUUUUUUUCUUUUACGUUGAGAAGCUAUAGACAUUAGAUUUUCAAAAUUUUUGUAUUUUUCACAAUCAUCAACAACGACUUAGUCUUCUUUUUACCAUAUAUUUUUCAUUCUUAAAAUUGGAUAUUAGAUUUUCAAAAUAUUUGUAUUUUUCACAAUCAUCAGCAAAAUCUUGUAUUUCGUUUGAACUGUCUAAACAACUAAAAAAAUUAAGAUUGAUGAGAGUACAAAGUAGAUUGACUUAGUCUUUUUUCUCAUAACCCUUAAAGAAUGUGUGUAUCUAUUCACUUGCAGGUCAACCAAAGCUAAUUAAUGUGGAAAUUCUUUUUCACAACAAAAUUGUACUCUAUUCACUACGUUUGAGGAAGAAGACUGUUGGAAAUUUAAUCCACCGAUUCCAUAAAAACGUGUAUACUUAUAUAUAUAUAUAUAUAUAUGUAUAACCUCAUAUAAAAUCUGAUAAAUUUAUUUGGGAAUAGUUAUUUUUCAUUCGUUAAUUAUUUCUCUUUUAAUCAAGUAAAAAAAUUAAAACUAAAAAGACAUUAUGAUUUAUUUGGCAUUUUUUAACUUCACAAAUAAAACGUCAUUUUAACUUUCUAUUCUUUUUUUUAUCUCUUUUAGCCUUGAAACUUAUAUGGUUCGUUAAAUCACUCAUUGAUGACAUAUUAACCUUUGAGUUAAACUCAAAUUGCUCUUCUCUUUGUUAUAAAUUAAGAGUAUAACUAAUUUUGAUAAAAAUGGUUACUUUUCAUUAACUUAGUUUAAAGGACUAUAACACGUAAAGUUUGGUCUAUUGCAGAAUUCACAUGUAAUGUGGGACAUUUUUUAACUUUACAAACAAAAAGUCAUUUGCGCCACAAUGUACAAUACUUCCACACCAUCUGCAGUAUUGCUACGUUUACUUGAGGGAAAACAAAGACAUGAAUGCUGGAAAUUUUAACUAGUUUGUACCGUCAAUAAAGCUACCUACCUAAAAGCCAUUUAGGAUAUCAAUUCCUGUAAUUGGAUUAAUCUCAUCGUUGCUGCAAUCUUUUGACAGUGUAAUCCAAUCUUAAAUAUGUUACUCUGCAGUGCUAUCGUAAAUAUUACUCUUAAAAUUGUGGAUAGAUAUAUAGGUUUGGCACAAAAUUAAGAAUACACAAAGGCAGGAUGAAUCAUUCCAUGUUUGAACAUCUGCAACAUAAAUGCAUAUGGCAAAAGGGCUCAAACCAUACCUUAUGUUCAUGAUGUUAACAUUAAUGGGAGACAACAUUAAUGGCAAACAAUACAAAGUGGUGCAAGUUUAGCACCCUAAAGUUGACUUUGAAAAAGUGGCAUGGGAUAAAUUUUUUUGGUCCUUGAGAUAAUGGGCUAUUUAUUGUUUGGUCCUUAAACUUCAACUAUAAAUAGGCCUUCUCAUUUCUCAUUUCAAUUCAUCCCAACCAAUCUUUCUCUCUUAGUUUUCUCUCUUCUCCCAUUUGAGAAUUCUUAAGGAAUUCAAUUUGUUUGUAAUACUUUGGAGAUAGUAAAGUUAUCAUCUGGUGUUAGUGCCCGAGGACGUAGGUAUAAUUUACCGAACCUCGUUAAAACUCUUGUGUUCUUUCUUGUCCUAUUUUUCUUUCAAUAUUUGAGGGUAUAAUAGUAGUAUUUAAUUGUGCUAUUAAAUUACUAUAGAAGGGAUAUUCUGUCUAAGGAAAGACUUGGUAUUUAAGAGAUCCAUGUGAUCCACCUCUCUUCCCUGGGAAUUGAACUUUGUGUGAUUUUUUAGUACAAUAAUUUACACGCUUCCGACCCUAUUGGAACAAUACAUGAAUUCUCAUCAUCACGUGUUUAUAAAUGCAACUCAAACUUCAAUAAUUGAAUCUUUUGUAAUUCUACAUGUAUUUUUUUUUAUGGUGAGCAGUAUAAUAUUUACUAAAAAUUGAAAUUCAAGAAAGAAGCCAUACAUAGUUGCACCAUACAAGAUGUUACACUCGAACUAAACCCUUACAAAUAGUACAAAAUGCAAUGAAAUACAGAGGAAUUGGUACAAUCAUAAAGACAGACACAUACCAAUGCAACUUUUCACCAUAGGAAAAACUUUCUGACAGACUACUAAACAAGAAAUUAUGAAGACACAGCAGAAAGGCUUUAACUUCAUUUGCACCAACUAUAUCCUUCUUCAUCCAUUGAUGCGAUUGCUAUAUUUUGGUUUUCUUCUUCGCCUCUUCUCAUGUUGGUCUUCAACCAAAUUCACAAUCCUUUUCGCUUCUUCUGAGCCACCAUGGGCUCUCUGCAUCACUCACCAACCUCAUCAGAUUCGCCGGGUGCCAUUUGGCCAUCUCAGGUCUCAAAAUAGUAUCAAAAUGCACACUAAUCAUUUAUUAAUAUAAAGAACAAAAACUAAAUAAAAAAACAACAAAGAUAUCUAAAUUGCUUGAAAAUAAGCUUUUAAGUGUGAUGGAGAGCCUCAUUUAACAUAUCAAUUUAUAGUAGAUCAUAAACAUAAUUUGCGGAACAUUGUUAAAAUUUCGAAUUUCUUUAUUAGUUUUCUUUCAAUAUUCUGUAUGGUACAUUUGUAGUAAUAUAUUGUGCUGAUCAUAGACUACAUUGCUUUAUUAAUGUUCUAUUGUUAAUCUUUUAUUAUUAUUAUUAUUAUUAUUAACACCACUUCCAUUUUAUCAUAUAAUUUUUUUUCAUAAAAAUGAAGAGUUGAUUUACCAAAAAAUUGUAUUUCAUUUGAACUCCCUAAAGAAAGAAGAAGUGAUGAGAUUAGAAAGUAUAUUGACUAGGUCUUGCUUCCUUUAUAUGUAUGAAUGUGGAAUUUGGCAUAAUGCCAACUUAUUUUCCACGCAGAAGAAAAUGGUGCUCCAUCCACUCUGUUUAACUUGACAAAAUACAAGACAUGUGAUCCACCAAUGAAUGUUUGACUAUCUCCAUCUCACUUUUUAUUAAUCAAGGAAUAAAAACUUAACAUUUCAACAUUUCAUAAGCAAAAGCUAAAAUAUUGACCUUUGAACUCCAUAAUAACAUAAGUUAAAACAAAAGUUAAAACAGCCUUCAGUUCAUCUACAUUCCACAUCAAAUCUGCAAGCAUCAAAUAUUGACCUUUGAACUCCAUAAUAACAACACCAAUUUCUAACAAUUCCAGAAGAAUGUCCAGUAACUCCACACAAAUUAACAACAAUUUGCAGCAUCCACUACAUUCAUAUCAAUUCCACACAAAUUAAGACUGCUUGUUUAUAAAGCUACCUACUGCAAAUUUUGUAUUGCUUGCAAUGAAUUGACCGUCAUUUUCUAUUACUUGCCACAAAAUUGGAAUUCUGAUAAGUUUAAUUUGGAAUAUGAUCAAUUUUGGUUAAAUUGGAGUGAAUAUUACUAUUUCUGUUUUAGCAAUUAAAGCAACCUAUAUGUACCCUUUUACACUCUGCAUUGUUCCAUGUUUCAAUUCAUUACAUCAUUCCUUCAACUCUGCUAUAUAUUAUCACCGUCUCCACAUAACCAAACCUUUUACUGCUAACUUGUAAAAAAAUUAUGAAAAUACUGUCGAAACCAUUUUUUUAUUUGAAAAAUGAGAGUCGACUUUAAGAAACAAAAAUGAGAGUCGCUACCAAUCUUUUUUGAGGUGUGAUCAUAUGCGCAAGAAAAUUUGCUCUCACUUACUCUCGAAAUUUACAGUAGGGGCUUAGGCUACCAAUAAAUUCUCAAUUAGAUAAUGAAUCAUCUACGAGCAACGAUUCCAAACCACAAUGAAUUGAGAGCUCAAACUAGCUCUUCCUCUAACUCAUAGAAGGCUCUAAUGAAUCCGAGGCUUCACACAUGACAAUCACACAAUACUCACAAUCAAAUGACAGCCAAGGACCCACUUAAACUAACCAAAACACAAGCCUAAGCUACCUUCUCAUGUAACCAAACCCUUUAGCAUGAUGAAAUUAAAAUGCAAAUAUAUUGAUCUACACUUAACAUUUUCACAAGAAACAAGUUUCAUUCAUCGCCAUAUUCAUCUAUAACUAAACUCCAACCUUUAAACCACACAAAACUAUACAUUUCAAGGUAUCGACAUUUUUCGACAAGUUUUGGCUAUAAUAAUGAAAAUUCAUUAAAACACGAGAAAUCUUUAAUAGAACUUAGAAGUAAUUUUAGAAACCUUCUAAUCAAGUUAAAACAAGUUGAAAAACACUUUUAAAUCACAUUUUUAUCCACAAUCUCAAAUUCCACUAUUAAUGACCCAAUUUUUGGGUUUUAAUUAAAACAUGUCAAUUUUAAAAUCUAAAUAACAUUAAAAAUUAAUGGUAAAGUAAAUGGUUACUUUUGAUGGGAGAUUAAUUGAGUUUUGACGUAAAUUUGAAAAACGAAGAAGAUGAUGAAAUCUAUGGCAUUUUUGAGUGUUUUUCUUAGAGAUUUAUGAAGGUAAUUGACUUGGGAGUUAUAAGAAAUCAAAGUAUUAUUGUUUGGGAAUAAAAUAAAUAAAUUGAAAGAUGAAGGGAAUAGCAAAGGACGGCAAUAGCAAACUUUGGAGAGUAACCAUCGUGAAAUAGAACUGGGAUUGGGGUUUAUUAGGUUCAAUUUUAAAAAUUGGUAAAACUGCAAUAUAAGUGCUCACUAUUUUAACUUUGUUACAAAUUAUUCCUUUUUUUCUAAAAUUUAGAAAUUUAAAACUCAUUUUCAGAAAUUGACUCCAUUCCCUAAUAGCCAUUGUAGAAAACAUUAUCAAAUACUAACCUUAAGAAAUUUGAGCGCAUAUAGGCUAAAAUUCCUAAAAUACACUCGAAAUUCUUAGACCCUAUUUUGGAGUGUUACACACAUGGUCAUGAUUCAUGUUGAAUUAAUCCAUCAUUCACCGUAAUAAGACUUGUCAUUGUAAUAAUUUAUUUUGAUACGUAUUAUUUUAUGAUGCAUAAACAUCAUAAAAUUUUCUAUUAUGCAAUAAUAGAAUUAGUUAAAUCAUCUAAUAUCUAAAAAAUUAUUAUUAUUUUAAUAAAAUCAUUCAUCAAAUUCCUGUUUUCAAAUUUCAUACAUGAAAUUAACAAAUAAAGAUAGCUCUAAAUAGCAAAACAUGGUAGGAUGGUUUUGUUGUGCAAACUUAGGAUUUCAAUUCUCAUCAAGGAACUUGCAAGCCUAUUAUAGUAGAAAUGUUCUAUCCAAAUGAUAAAGAUGUUGAUGCAACAUUUUAGAUUGCAAAUUCCUUGAUCACAUUUGGAAUCCUAAGCACAGGGACUUGCAAGCCUCUUAGCUCCAGGAACUUUAGAUUGUACCUGUUCAAAACAUUUUUCAAAGAAGGAACCAUAGGCGUCUAUUCUGGUUCAUCUCAUUGAAUACAUCAAAUGGAGGAUCAAUACGCUGAAAAAGGGACAACGGAAAGAACUUUAGCCAAUAACUUGAAUUUUAUAACUACUCCUAUGCCAACCAGCAAACCAUAACAACACAAAUGUUUGUUCUGUUAAGGAACAAUACACAGACAUAUUCACCUACCCUUGGUGCUGACAGAAUAUGCCCAUUCACUUGGGUGAAAUUAGAGUUGAUAUUAACCCCACAAGAUUUCUGCACCAUAAUUACUGCUAAGUAAAACCUGCACAUCAAUUUUCAUUCUUCACUAGAAACUGAAUCUAUUUUUGUAAGUAAAAAUUAGUUGUAUUCAUUGUUCACAUAAUUGAUCUUUUGUUGUGGAAGUAUUGUAUUUCCGGUAAUCCAUUAAGUAUUCAGUGUUUGAUGCAAUAGAUUUGUAUUUUAUUAUUUUAUUUUGUGGAAGGAUCCUUUAUCUAUUUUGUUUUUUACAUUUCUGAUAAGUUUACAUUUUUCAGUAAUUAACUUAUGUUGUUUUUGCCAAACUUUGUAGCGUUUCACUUUUGGUAAAAUUUCAUCCUUGGUCCCUUUAAACUCCUUUUUGCUUUAAUUUGAUUGCUUUCUAGCGUUGCAAAUUACAUGACACUCUUCAAAUGUCUUACUAAAUUCUCACUUCUACGAGUGCUAUGAUAAUCAAAUAAAGUUCAAUUCAAUUUUAAGUUCCAUACAACACUUACAAGGCUACAAAAUGUGUCCUCAACCACAAACAAUCCAAAUUUGCAGAGAAACCACCCAUUAUAUAUAGGUUUGCCAAUGAGAUGGCAAGCAGACUGCUAGCUAGAAAUUCAUGCAUCUUUGAAUCACCAAUUCAAUUAAUAAGCUUAACUAGAGGAAAUAAGGACUUUACAUCCACCAAUUAAAGCAACCUAUAUGUACCCUUUUACAGUCUUCAUUGUUCCAUAUUUCAAUUCAUUACAUCAUUCCUUCAAUUCUGCUAUAUAUUAUUACCGUCUCCAGAUAACCAAACCUUUUACUGCGAACUUGUAAAAUAAUUAUGAAAAUACAACAGAGAUCAUUGAGACAUUGUUGAAGCUGGCUUGGAUGAAUGCCAAGCUGUCCGAGCCAUGCAAGUCGCGGCUGAAGCUUAUGCUGCUGUUUUGCUACUUUCAAAUAGAUAUUUUAUUACUUAGUUAGAUAUGAACUAAGUUUUUGAUAUGCUUGAUGUACUUAGGUGCUGAUAGAUUGAUAAAUCAGCUUUACCAAGUGUACAAGCAAUGUUUAUAAAAGAAUAAUAUUACAUAACUAAACUAAAUAACUAAAUUAAAUAAUAUUAUAAAGUUAAGAGACCAAAACAUAAAUUUUCUAAUAGAUUAGUACUUGAGGUGUAGUUUACCUUAUAAUAAAUAACUAAACUAAAUUUGUGAAUCAAUUGCAUAAUUAAAUUAAGAUUUUCAAGCCUUUUGUGAUUGGUAUUGGACCAAACCAAACUUGAAAGGAGAAAAAGAUUCAUGAAACAAUCCACUUUUAAAAGCCUUUCACUUUUCCCAAGUCCAAUACACAAAUUCACAAGAUCCCACGCUUUCAUUUAUCCUCUUCAGAAAGCAAGGUCCACAACAAGAGAUUAAUUUAGAUAUUAAUUAUUUUAUUUUAAUGGGAUAUAAUUUGAUAUUUUGUUUUUAUUUUAACUAAGUGAGUUUAAAUUAAUGAUAUUUGUUAUAAUAAUUAAGUUACACAUUCGGGAAGGUUGAUAAUAAUGUUCACACCAUAGAUGUUGUGAAGAGCCACUAAAAGUGACAAUUUAUCUAUGCUGAAAAGGUGUUUGAAUAGGAGUAUUGGACAACGUCCUACCUCAAGACUCAAAAGGGAUGCCAAUUUAAGAUCCAAGGAAGCCUUUGACUUAUCUCACUUGUGUAAGGAGCUACAGUUAUCUCUUUACUAUUAACAACAUAAUCAUAUUCUAUAAUUCACCUUUAAGGUGUCUUAUUCACUUGCUUAGGUCAACUAUACCAAAUUCACCUUUAAAGCAUUUUAUUUCGCCAAACCAAAAUUGUCAUUUGCCAUAUAGGGAUCGCCAAGCCUGCAAAAGCCAAAAUCUUUUCAAAGAUUUGCCUCGUUUAGCUUGAUUCUUCAAUUUAUCUUCUCAAUCUCAAUUAUUAACGUUGUCUCUCCAACUUGCCUCCUCAAAUUUAAUCAUCAAACGUGCAUUACGUGCUCACCAUACUACAAGAACAUAAACUUAUUUAUUUUCAAGAGGAUCACUUUAUAAAUUUUCAUCAAUUAGGGAAAAAUUAUUAUACCUCUAUAACUAUAUUUUAAAAUAUGGCGAUAUUUCAAGAUACCACCUAUCACAUUUCAAUAAAACUCGUUAUAUUUCUACCACCAUCAUAAUUAAGUAAUAGGGCAUCAUUCUAUAUGGACACACAUUAAGCUCAUUUCCUUUUAUGUAAAGUCCUCUACAUAACUUAAAAGGGAUGGAAAACAUAGAGCAAAACUCUAUAUAUCCAUUCUCUCCUAAAGCUUUCAACUCACUCUUAACAAUACUACCACUACCAUGUGAAUCACCCUUAACUGUUAACCUUUUAAAAAUAACUACUCUGUUAAUGCCAUGUAGCUAUUUUGAUUAAUGAUUUCGUUUAAUUUGUUUUCCUCCUGACUUGGAAAUGUCGACUUGACAACAAAAUGAAAUUUGCGCAUGACACCUUAAUUUUGUGGUUGGUUUUGUUGGAAUAUUUUCAAAUAUUUAUAGUAUCCCAAUAACUAUAAAUGAAUGGGUGUAAUUAAUCAAAAGAUAAAACUUUUGGUCAUUGGUCAAAAGUUAUAUCAUUUGAUUUUUUAAAAAAGAAUUAUAACUAUUCAAAAAAUAUUAUUUGAAUAGUUACAAAAUUAAAUGAAUAAUUAUUAUUAUUUAUUUAUUCAUAAAGACACCUAUUGAAAGAUGUCUCUAUGAAGAGACAUGAAAAUUCCUAUAAAUAGGAAUAGGAUUUCAUUUGGAAAUCAUAUCAACAAAUUCUAAUAUUAUUUCUUCUCUUCCUUCAUUUUCUAAUAUUAUUAGAUUAUUCUAUAAAGUAUUGCUGCAGAAAUCCUUUGUAGAAAUUGAGUUUUUGUUAUACAUUACUCAGUGCAUAGUGGACUAUUCUCGUCAGUGCAAAACGCAAAUAGUCAUUGGCUUCAUUGUAUCCUCGAGGUUAAUUUGCUUGGAACUCGUUUGCACACUGAAGAUAAGUGGAGGCGAAUAUAACCUUAAAGAUAGUGGCUUGAUACACGCCUUGGAGCCUGUCCUAUUUCUUCUUUUUCUUUUCGAGUUCCGAUCGUGUGUUCAAGUUUUUUUCUUACCGGAGUUUUGUACUAACAAUUUUAAGGUUAUAUUUCAUGAUGACUACCACAACACAUGAAAGUGGAACACUAAGGGAGUUGGCUUCCAACUUUGUUAAACUUGAUCGUUUUGAUGGUGGCAAUUUUCGACGAUGGCAGAAAAAGAUGCACUUUUUGUUAUCAACUUUGAAUAUUGCUUAUGUUUUGGAUACUCCAAGACCUGAAGAGAAUGAAAAUGAAUCUGUUGCUGCAACCCGAGAAAGACAAAAAUGGGACAAUGCUGAUUACAUGUGCAUGGGCCACAUAUUGAAUGGUUUAUCUGAUGGUUUGUUCGACACCUACCAAAACGACGUCACCGCUAAAGAAUUAUGGGACAAAUUGGAGGCAAGAUACAUGACCGAAGAUGUUACAAGUAAGAAAUUUCUUGUCAGUCGUUUCAAUAAUUAUCAAAUGGUUGAUGGUCGUUCUGUUAUGGAACAAUUUCGUGAUAUUGAAAAGAUGCUGAAUCAAUUUAAGCAAUAUGAUAUGAAAAUGGAUGAAAUGAUUGUGGUAUCCUCCAUAAUAGACAAACUUCCUCCAUCUUGGAAAGACUUUAAAAGAAGUCUAAAACAUAAGAAAGAGGAAAUAUCUCUUGAGGCUUUGGCAAAUCAUCUUCGUAUUGAAGAAGAGUAUCAAAAACAAGAUCAGAACCUAAAUUCUAAAAAUGCCGAAGUACAUGUUAUGGAGGAAGUACAGACUACUAAACCAUUCAAGAGAAAGUUCAAUCAGACUGAUAGAGCACCUAAGUUCAAAAAGAAACAAAAGGGCUCAUGCUAUCAUUGUGGAAAGCCGGGACAUUUCAAGAAUGAAUGUCGAUUUUUAAAGAAGAAAUCAUCUUCUAAGGCUGAUAAUAACGAAAAGUUCGUUGCAAUGAUAUCUGAAAUUAAUAUGGCACAAGAUGAUAAUACAUGGUGGAUUGAUACCGGAGCAACCAAACAUGUGUGCAAAGACAAAAGCAUGUUCACAAAGUUCACACAAUGUGAAAAUGACAAUGUCUUGUACAUGGGAAAUUCUUCCACCGCAACAAUUAAAGGCAAAGGGUCUGUUGAACUACAAUUCACUUCUGGAAAGGUUUUAACCUUAAAUGAUGUAUAUUAUGUACCAAAAGUUAGGAAAAAUUUAGUGUCUGGAAGUCUGUUGAAUAAGUUUGGUUUCAAACUUGUUUUUGAGGCAGAUAAGUUUAUUUUGUCUAAGGGAGGAAUUUUUGUGGGAAAAUGGUAUAUGUAUGAAAGCAUGUUCAAACUUAAUAUUAUUAAUAAGAAUAAAAAUACUAUUUCUGCUUAUAUGGUUGAAUCAUUUUGUUUGUGGCAUUAUAGAUUAGGUCAUUUGAAUUAUAGAAAAUUGAAUGACAUGUAUAAAUUAGAUUUAAUUCCUGUUUUUAAUAAUAAUAUUGAAAAAUGCAAUACCUGUAUGUUGACUAAAAUUACAAGAAAUCAUUUCCCUAAGGUUAAAAGGAAAACAAAAUUGCUUGAUUUGAUACAUAGUGAUUUAUGUGACUUGCAUAAUACUCCUACAUUAGGUGGAAAGAAAUAUUUUGUUACUUUUAUUGAUGAUUGUUCUAGAUAUUGUUAUGUAUAUUUAUUGCAUUCAAAAGAUGAAGCGCUUGAUAAAUUUAAAGUUUAUAAAUCUGAAGUUGAACUUCAGUGUGAAUCAUUUAUCAAGUGCUUAAGAUCGGAUAGAGGUGGAGAAUACUAUAAUCCAAGUUAUUUUGAACUCACUAGAAUUGUCCAUCAAGUUUCAGCCCCUUACACACCACAACAAAAUGGUGUAGUUGAAAGGAAAAAUAGAGUCUUGAUUGAAAUGGUAAAUUCAAUGUUAUCAUAUUCAGGUCUUGGACAGGGUUUUUGGGGAGAAGCUGUUCUAACAGCUUGUCAUAUAUUGAAUAGAGUUCCUAAUAAAGAAACUAAAAUAACCCCCUAUGAACAAUGGAAGAAAAGGAAACCAAACUUUAAUUAUUUAAAGGUUUGGGGUUGUAGAGCUUGGGGUUGUAGAGCUAUUGUAAAAGUUCCAACACCUAAACGUAAAAAGUUAGGUGAAAGAGGAAUUGAAUGCAUAUUUAUAGGUUAUGCACAUAAUAGCAAGGCAUAUAGGUUCAUAGUAAUUGAACCAAAUGAUUCAAUUUCAAUUAAUACGGUUAUUGAAUCAAGAGAUGCUAUUUUUGAUGAAAAUAGAUUUAAUUCUAUAUCAAGACAAUUACAACCACAACAAUUGAUUCAUUCUUCAAAUGAGAAUGAGAUUCCAUUGAAACAAAUUGAUAAUAAUGAUGAAUCUUGUCAAGAAUUAAGAAGAAGUAAUAGGAUUAAAAAGGUCAAAGAUUUUGGACCAGAUUUCAUUAUGUUUCUUGUAGAAGGAAAAGGUGAAAGUAUAUGCAAUAAGAUACCUUAUUGUUAUAAUACCGAAUCUGAUCCUAUUACAUUUGAAGAAGCAGUGAAAUCUCAAGACUCUGCUUUUUGGAAAGAAGCAAUAAAUGAUGAAAUGGAUUCAAUAAUGGGAAAUCAAACUUGGAUCUUAGUUGAUCAUCCACCAGGUUCCAAACCAAUAGGUUGUAAAUGGAUCUUCAAAAAGAAAAUGAAGGUCGAUGGAACCAUUGAUAAAUUUAAAGCAAGGUUGGUAGCAAAAGGUUUUACACAAAGACAAGGUAUUGAUUCCUUUGAUACCUAUGCUCCAGUAGCAAGAAUUGCUACAAUUAGACUAUUAAUAUCACUUACCUCUAUAUAUAAUUUGGUUGUUCACCAAAUGGAUGUUAAAACUGCAUUUUUAAAUGGUGAAUUGGAAGAGGAAGUGUACAUGGAGCAACCGGAAGGAUUUGUUGUUCCAGGACAAGAGCAUAAGGUAUGUAAGCUUGUUAAAUCUUUAUAUGGGCUUAAACAAGCACCAAAACAAUGGCACCAAAAGUUUGACAAGGUUGUUUUAGCUAAUGGCUAUAAAAUAAAUGAAUCCGAUAAGUGCAUAUAUAGUAAAUUUGAUAAUGGAAAGGGUGUUAUAAUUUGCUUAUAUGUAGAUGACAUGCUCAUUUUUGGCACGGAUUUGGAAUAAAUAGAAAACACAAAGAAAUUCUUGUCAAACAACUUUGCUAUGAAGGAUAUGGGUGUAGCAGAUGUUAUUCUUGGGAUUAAAAUAACCCGAGAUGAAAGCACUAUAGCUUUAUCACAAUCACAUUACAUUGAAAAUGUGCUUAAAAAGUUUGAUCUUUUCAACUGUAUACCAGCAUCUACACCCAUGGAUCCUCAAUUAAAAUUAGUAUCUAAUGCUGGUAGGAAAAUUGAUCAAUUGAAAUAUGCAAGUCUAAUUGGUUGUCUUAUGUACAUAAUGACUUGUACAAGACCAGAUAUUGCAUAUGCUAUUGGAAAAUUGAGUAGAUACACAAGUAAUCCAAGUAGUUUGCAUUGUCAAGCUUUAAAUAGAGUACUUAGGUACUUAAAGAAAACUAUUAACUAUGGAUUGUGUUAUAAUGGAUAUCCUCCAGUUUUAGAAGGGUAUUCGGAUGCUAGUUGGAUUACAAGUUUGGAAGAUCAUGCAUCUACUAGUGGGUGGAUCUUCAUUCUUGGUGGAGGAGUCAUUUCUUGGGGUUCCAAGAAACAAACAUGUAUUACUGAUUCCACCAUGGCAGCAGAAUUUAUUGCAUUAGCCGCUGCAUCUAAAGAAGCAGAAUGGUUAAGAAAUUUGCUUUAUGAUGUACCUUUAUGGCUUAAGCCAAUUUCACCUAUUUCUAUCCGUUGUGAUAGUGAGGCUACUCUAGCAAAGGCAUAUAGCCAAGUAUAUAAUGGAAAGUCUAGACACAUUGGAUUAAGACAUAGUUAUGUCCGACAAUUAAUCUCUGAUGGAGUGAUCACUAUUAAUUAUGUGAGGUCAAGUGAAAAUUUGGCAGAUCCUUUGACAAAAAGUCUUGCUAGAGAUGCAGUAAAAAGGACCUCAAAAGGGAUGGGACUCAAGCCUAUUAAUUAGAGCCACCCAUUAUGGAAACUCGACUCAACGCUUGGUAUAACGUCAAGUCUUGAGUUCAAUGAGACAAAGUACAUCAUUAGUAUGUGACUGUUAGCACUAUAAAUAAAUCCAUCCUAAGAUUAAAGUGCUAGGUACCCGUAAUGAUAAGGGAAGGAUGAGUAAUGUACUCUUAAUGGACCCAUAACAUAAAUAUGUUAGAGUGUUAUAAUUACGGGAACACUUUUGAUGGGAUCUACCUAUGUGAGUGGAAGUGUGGCCGCUUCUAGGAGCUUAAGGGCUUGGCUCUGACAGCACUCAUGAAAAGAGGACAUAGACACAUGGCUAUAAUAGUGUCCCUAGAUACUAUGCAUUGACUGAUGUUGAAAUCAUUGUGUGAGAUAUGUUCAGUUAAUCAAAUGGAAUAGUUGGUUCAAAGCUUAGUCUACCAUACAAUUUCGAUUAACUUUAACAUGUUUUCACUAAGUGAAGGUUCAAUCGUAAGACACCUUUAUUUAUGCAAAUUGAUUUCCAAGAAUAUCAAAAUCUAAAUAUUUUGAAAAUGGGGGGAGAUUGUUGGAAUAUUUUCAAAUAUUUAUAGUAUCCCAAUAACUAUAAAUGAAUGGGUGUAAUUAAUCAAAAGAUAAAACUUUUGGUCAUUGGUCAAAAGUUAUAUCAUUUGAUUUUUUAAAAAAGAAUUAUAACUAUUCAAAAAAUAUUAUUUGAAUAGUUACAAAAUUAAAUGAAUAAUUAUUAUUAUUUAUUUAUUCAUAAAGACACCUAUUGAAAGAUGUCUCUAUGAAGAGACAUGAAAAUUCCUAUAAAUAGGAAUAGGAUUUCAUUUGGAAAUCAUAUCAACAAAUUCUAAUAUUAUUUCUUCUCUUCCUUCAUUUUCUAAUAUUAUUAUAUUAUUCUAUAAAGUAUUGCUGCAGAAAUCCUUUGUAGAAAUUGAGUUUUUGUUAUACAUUACUCAGUGCAUAGUGGACUAUUCUCGUCAGUGCAAAACACAAAUAGUCAUUGGCUUCAUUGUAUCCUCGAGGUUAAUUCGCUUGGAACUCGUUUGCACACUGAAGAUAAGUGGGGGCGAAUAUAACCUUAAAGAUAGUGGCUUGAUACACGCCUUGGAGCCUGUCCUAUUUCUUCUUUUUCUUUUCGAGUUCCGAUCGUGUGUUCAAGUUUUUUUCUUACCGGAGUUUUGUACUAACAGGUUUGACGGUCAUCUUGAAGCAUAUAUAAAAUUAAAUGAUUGAAUUAUUGAAAUCAUGAAAUAAAAUAAUUAUGAAAUCAGAAUUUAAGGUUAGAGGUUAUUUUUAGAAAUUUAACUUUUUAAUUAAUUAAUUUAGCACAAAUUUUAUACAAGUCAUGAACUUAAUUUCAUCAAAUUAUAUUAUCCAACUUUUACUGUUAAUAAAUUAAGCGGUAAAAAAAAACACAUGUCUUGAUAUAAAAUAUCAAAAUUGAUUAUAUUGAAGGUGGUACAAAUAAUUGCAAGAAAUUGUAAUUAUUAGGUAGUGAUUAUAACCUCUCAUAAUAAAUUUUGAAAAUAAUUAAUGUUAAUUAUUCACGUAAUUCUUCUAAUUUUCAAUUAUUUCCUUAAAAAUUAAAAAGUAACAAAAAUAUAUAUAUAAAUUAUAAUGGUUAAGAAAAUAUGUCAUAAAUAUGUAAUUAUAAGUAAUUACAUCAAAAUUUAAUUACUACUGCUUUCUAAACACCCCUAAAAUUUAAAUAUAAUCAUUUCUUUGUUUAAAUAUGCUAAAGAUUUCUAUACUCUUUUAAAAUUUAAAUUUUAGUCUCCAUGCUUUAAUUUUGAGACAUUGAGUUCUUAUAGUUUUUUAUUUAAAAAUCUUGGUUUCUCCAUCUAAUUUUGCCAUUAAAAUUAAUGGUGUCAACGGUAAAAUAAAUUUUUAACCCUCAACAUAUAUUGUGCAGAUCAUAGACUAAAUUGCUUUAUUAGUUUUCUAUUGUUAAUCUUAUUAUUAUUAUUAUUAUUAUUAUUAUUGUUAACACCACUUCCAUUUUAACAACACCAAUUUCUAACAAUUGCAGAAGAAUGUCUAGUCAUUCCACACAAAUUAACAACAAUUUGCAGCAUCCACUACAUUCAUAUGAAUUCCACACAAAUUAAGACUGCAAAUUCUAACUUGUUUAUACCCUCAAUGAAGUUACCUACUGCAGAUUUUGUAUUGCUUGGAAUGAAUUGACUGUCAUUUUCUACUACUUGCCACAAAAUUUUGUAUUGCUUUAAAUUCAAACAGGAAGAAGAAAACAUGAAAAGAUGAUGAGAUGAGCAUGAAGAUUGCUAUAAAUUUGAUCCACCAAUUAAUAAGCUAACUAAAGGAAAUAAGGACAUUUGAUCCACCAAUUAAUGUUUGAAUUCACUAUAGUACUAUGCUUUUUACUGUCAAAAUCUUGGAUGCAGAGAUUAUUGGGACUAAAAAAUGAGAGUCAUGAAAGAAGACAUAAAUAGUUGAACCAUACAAAAUGUUACAUUUAAAACAAACCCUUACAAAUACUACGUAAUGCAAUGAAAUAUAGAUGAAUUGUUACAAUAACAAAGACAGAUGCAUGGCAAUGCAACCUUUCACCAUAGGAAAAAAAUUGGACAGACUUCAAAACAAGAAAUUAUGAAGAUACUGUUGCGGAAGCGACGAUAAUAUUAAUAACAAUAUUAUCAGAAAUAUUUAGAUAAUUAUUAUGCCAACAAUUAUACUAAGAAAAUUCCCAGUUAAAUUGGAGGGGUCACAAAUGGUCCCGCUUAAAACCCAACAACUAGACAGAACUCACUUAGAUAUUUAUAGCAAUAAUAACUAAAUAAAUAUAACCAACAUAAAGCUAUUAAAUAUAAGCAAACAAAUAAGAAAUAAAAUACCAGAGAUUUAACGAGGUUCGGCCAAUUUAGCUUACGUCCUCGGACACUACCAAAUCAAUAUUUCUACUAGAAAUAUUACAAAGGAGAAGAUUUUUUGGGAUGAUACAACCAAAGGGGGAGGGGUUCUAUAUAUAACAAACCAAACCCCCUCCCUUUCUAUCUUUUCCUAAUGUGGGAUAUUGCCAAUAUUCAACAAAUCUCCACCUUGGCGAUAUUCCACAUCUUCGAACAUCUUCUCAUAACACUAACUUCAAUAGUGUCUUCAAAUUUGCAACCAAUCGCCUUCUUCCCUUUUGGUAGUUGUGCCAGCUUCCACGUCUUGUUUUUCUCUAGAGAUUGCAUUUCCUCUUCCAUUGCACCUAACCAUCUAUUAUUCUCUAAACUCUGAAUGGCUUUGGUGUAAGUGGAUGGAAUAUUAUCAACAACUGGAAGUGCAUAAGCUACCAUGUCAGUGAAACGAGCAGGUUUCUGAAUUUCUCGUCUCUGCCUUCUGACUGCAAUUGGCUCUGAUUGCUGUUGAGGUUCUUGGGUAGAAACCUCUUCCUCAUCUGACUCUGCAUCUGCCAAUGAAGAAUCACUAGUGGUACCUUCUGCUGGAAUUACCACACUCUGCUCAAACUCCACCUGCUGCGGAGUACACUCCACCUGCUGCGAAGUACUACUCACUCCUUCUGGAUUUACCUUAUUCAACAUGGCAGAUUCAUGAAAGGUAACAUCCCUACUGAUUAUCGUCUUCUUUGCCUCUAGACACCACAAACGAUAUCCCUUAACACCAGCAUUGAAGCCCAUGAAUAGAGCCUUCUUUGCUCUUGGAUCUAACUUUGAUUCUUUCACAUGAUAAUAUGCAAUAGAACCAAAAAUGCGCAAGGUGUCAUAAUCAGUAGCAGGUUUUCCAUACCAUUUUUCCAAAGGAGUCUUGCCAUUUAUAGCAGAUGAUGGCAAAUGAUUGAUGAGAUGUUGAGCGUACGUCACAGCCUCAGUCCAAAACUUUCUAUCUAAUCCAGCAUUAGAUAACAUACAUCGAACUUUCUCCACAAGCGUUCGAUUCAUUCGCUCUGCCACCCCAUUCUGUUGCGGUGUUCCACCUACGGUGAAGUGCCUUACUAUGCCACAAUCUUGGCAUAUCUUCAGGAAAGGAUCGCUUUUAUAUUCUCCACCGUUGUCUGAUCGGAGAACCUUAAUCUUCCUUCCUGUCUGAUUUUCAACUUUAGUUUUCCACUUAAGGAAAACUUCAAGCACCUCAUCUUUGUUCUUCAUAGGAAACACCCAAACUCGUCUGGAAAAAUCAUCAAUAAAGGUGACAAAAUAACGUCUUCCUCCAAGUGAUGGAGUCUUGGACGGUCCCCAUACAUCAGAAUGCACAUAAUCCAGAAUACCUUUAGUAUUGUGAAUCCCAGUGCCAAAUUUCACCCUUCGUUGUUUUCCCAGAACACAAUGCUCGCAAAAUUCAAGUUUGCAAGUCUUUGUACUUUUCAAUAAUCCUUGCUUGGCUAGAGUUUGCAAGGAUUUUUCACCAGCAUGGCCCAAACGCAUAUGCCACAGCUGUGUUGCCUCAGCGUCCUUCUUGGUACUCGAAAUUGCUGCUGCUGUUGUCCCGACCACUGUACUACCUUGGUAGUAAUACAGAUUGUUCUUUCUUAUGCCAUUCAACAUCACCAAUGCUCCUGAAGUUGCUUUAAGAACUCCAUCUCGUAUUGUCACAACUAGGCCUUUAGAUUCUAACGACCCCAAAGAGAUGAGAUUCUUCUUCAACUUUGGGACAUAUCGUACAUCCCGCAAAAUUCUAGUAGAUCCAUCAUGACUCCUCAGUUUAAUUGAACCUAUCCCGGCUAUUUUACAUGUGUUAUCAUUACCCAUGUAAACAACCCCUUCAUCUAGUUUUUGAAAUUCAAAGAACCAUUCCCGAAUGGGACACAUAUGAUAGGAACAACCAGAAUCCAUGAUCCACUCAUCUGCAUAUAAUGUUGAAGAUGUCAUACUAAGAGAAAAGUUUGACUCUGCUUCACUAUUGCAUUUUGCAACAUUUGCAUCUUGCGGAGUCUUCCCUUUUUUCUUCAAUUUUGGACAAUCUUUCUUCCAAUGUCCUUUUUCUUUGCAAAAGGAACAUUCAUCUUUGGCAACAGCUCGACCUUUGGACUUUCUUCUCUUCCCAUUAGACUGACUUUGCUGACGACCUCUUGUUACCAAUGCUUCCACUGCUGCUUCACCUGAACCUUUCAACUUAUCCUUUCGGCGUAAUUCAUAGCUAUACAAUGCAGCAGUUACUUCAUUGAAAGUUACUUCCGAUUUUCCAUGAAGUAGAGUAGUUUCAAGGUACUCAAACUCCUCAGGAAGCGAUCCCAACAACAUUAACGCCAAGUCUUCGUCUUCAAAAGUCACAUCCAAAUUCAACAAAUCAGCCACCAGCUGAUUAAAAUUGGUAAUGUGCUCGUUCAUCGUGGUACCAGGAACAUAAUUGAAACGAAACAGUCUUUUCAUCAUAUGCAACUUAUUUUGACUGUUCUUCUUCAAGAAUUUCUCCUCCAAUGCUUUCCACAAUUUACUUGCAGAAGUCUCUUUACUGAAUGUAUACUUCUGCUCUCUGGAAAGACAUGAUCGAAUUGUACCACAUGCCAAUCGGUUGAUGGUCUUCCAUUCUUUAUCAUCAACCCCUUCUGGUUUUUCUUCCUCAAUGGCAAUAUCUAGACCCUGUUGAAAGAGGGCAUCUAGAAGCUCACUUUGCCACAUGCCAAAAUGACCUGUUCCAUCAAAAAUUUCCACUACAAAUCUCGUAUUUGCAGUUCCAAUCCUCGGCAAAAUGUACGAAGUGGAAGUUGUUGAUAUGGAUGGUUUUUCUUCUGUCAUUUUUGCCAUAGCUUCUACUUAAUAGCCACCAAAUGCAGAAUACCCACAAGCUUUAGGAAAUGUUUCUGAUGUGUAAGAUCAGACUAAGCUGCAAACACAGAGCAUACUACAAAACCUUGGCUCUGAUACCAAUUGUUGCGGAAGCGACAAUAAUAUUAAUAACAAUAUUAUCAGAAAUAUUUAGAUAAUUAUUAUGCCAACAAUUAUACUAAGAAAAUUCCCAGUUAAAUUGGAGGGGUCACAAAUGGUCCCGCUUAAAACCCAACAACUAGACAGAACUCACUUAGAUAUUUAUAGCAAUAAUAACUAAAUAAAUAUAACCAACAUAAAGCUAUUAAAUAUAAGCAAACAAAUAAGAAAUAAAAUACCAGAGAUUUAACGAGGUUCGGCCAAUUUAGCUUACGUCCUCGGACACUACCAAAUUAAUAUUUCUUCUAGAAUAUUACAAAGGAGAAGAUUUUGGGAUGAUACAACCAAAGGGGGAGGGGUUCUAUAUAUAAAUAUCUAAGUGAGUUUUGUCUAGUUGUUGGGUUUUAAGCGGGACCAUUUGUGACCCCUCUAAUUUAACUGGGAAUUUUCUUAGUAUAAUUGUUGGCAUAAUAAUUAUCUAAAUAUUUCUGAUAAUAUUGUUAUUAAUAUUAUCGUCGCUUCCGCAACAAUUGGUAUCAGAGCCAAGGUUUUGUAGUAUGCUCUGUGUUUGCAGCUUAGUCUGAUCUUACACAUCAGAAACAUUUCUUAAAGCUUGUGGGUAUUCUGCAUUUGGUGGCUAUUAAGUAGAAGCUAUGGCAAAAAUGACAGAAGAAAAACCAUCCAUAUCAACAACUUCCACUUCGUACAUUUUGCCGAGGAUUGGAACUGCAAAUACGAGAUUUGUAGUGGAAAUUUUUGAUAUGGAUGGUUUUUCUUCUGUCAUUUUUGCCAUAGCUUCUACUUAAUAGCCACCAAAUGCAGAAUACCCACAAGCUUUAGGAAAUGUUUCUGAUGUGUAAGAUCAGACUAAGCUGCAAACACAGAGCAUACUACAAAACCUUGGCUCUGAUACCAAUUGUUGCGGAAGCGACGAUAAUAUUAAUAACAAUAUUAUCAGAAAUAUUUAGAUAAUUAUUAUGCCAACAAUUAUACUAAGAAAAUUCCCAGUUAAAUUGGAGGGGUCACAAAUGGUCCCGCUUAAAACCCAACAACUAGACAGAACUCACUUAGAUAUUUAUAGCAAUAAUAACUAAAUAAAUAUAACCAACAUAAAGCUAUUAAAUAUAAGCAAACAAAUAAGAAAUAAAAUACCAGAGAUUUAACGAGGUUCGGCCAAUUUAGCUUACGUCCUCGGACACUACCAAAUCAAUAUUUCUACUAGAAAUAUUACAAAGGAGAAGAUUUUUUGGGAUGAUACAACCAAAGGGGGAGGGGUUCUAUAUAUAACAAACCAAACCCCCUCCCUUUCUAUCUUUUCCUAAUGUGGGAUAUUGCCAAUAUUCAACAGAUACAACGUACACACUUGAACAUCAUUUCCACUAACUAGAUCCUUCUUCGUCCAUUGCUGCGACUGCCAUCCUUUCACUUUCUUCUUCGCUUCUUCUCAUGUUGGAUUUCAACCAAAUUCACCAACCAUUUCGGCUUACCAAUUUGGAAAACAACAUAUCCCACGACCAUUCCAAACACUACUCCGCAUCCAUAACCUAUCAACACCAAUUUCCAACCAAAAGAGAUGUUUGAUUUUGAACCAUCAUGCAUCAUUUACUUUGCAAACAAUUUCACAAGUAACCAAUCAUCAUCUUUAUUCAGUCCUACGUAUCAGUUGUAGUAGUUCAACCACUUCUUAUCAUUAAAACAUGCCAUACAUACACUAAGGGUAUUAAAAACAUCAAUCAAACCUAGAAAUAGGCCCAGUUGCAAAAUUUCUAAAACUGUUACAUAGGUAUUGAUACUGUCCUAGGGCUAUCCAUAUUUUUUUUAAGUGGUAUUGAUAUCACAUGGAAAAUCAAUACUAAACUAGCAUUCUAUCUCUCACCAAAUAUCAAAACAUAAAAAAUUAUUGGUACCUUUCGCAAGGUAUCAAUAAACUUACCCGAAGUAUUGAUUCCUGGGCUGAAGUAUCGAUACCAAAUACAUAUUUUGUUUCCCUGUACCUUCGAAAAUGCAAAGAUACCCUUUUUAGAAAAUAAAAUAUCGAUACCUCCACUACAGGCUAUAAAAUCUUAGCAUACUCCAACAUUAAAACCAUUCAAACUUAAUCCCAAACAACAUGCUUCAUUCACAUAGUUAAAGAACAGUGUAAUCGAAUGUUAAAUAUGUUACUCUGCAAUGCCGUUGUAAAUAUGACUGUUAAAUUUGUUGAUAGCUAUACUGGUUUGGCACAAAAUUAAGAAUACACAGGCAGGUUGAACUAUUCCAUGUAUGAACCUUUGCAACAUAAAUGCAGAUGGCACAAAGACGCAAACCAUACCUUAUGUUCUUGAAUUCUCAUCAUCACAUGCUUAUAAAUGCAACUCAAGCUUACCUAAUUGAAUCUUUUGGUAAUUCAAAAUGUAUUUUUUUUUGUAGUGAGCAGUACAAGGACAUUAGAUCCACCAAUUUCUGUUUGAAUUCAUUACGUCAUUCAGCUCUGCUAUGUACUAUUAUUUCCAAAAAUCUUGAAAGGAGACAUCCUCCAAUUUAAAGACAAGAAAUGAGAAAGAAUGGCAGUGAAUAAAUAAGGAAAAACCAUGUAUAUUCAGAACCACAAUAAAACAAAUAUUUUAUAUGUAUUUUCUCAAUCGUAUUAGUGAAAUGCUAUAAAUUUUGUAACAAUUUUUUACUAAAUAUAAAAUAUUAAAAUUAAUACAUAUGGUGAUAUUGGAUAUACAGAGAAGACCCAAGCAUGAAGUUUGAGCGGGUCCUUGUACUCUGCAAUCUUGUGGUAAAUCCUUGAACUACAUUUAUGAAUACUAAAAUAUUAAUUACCUCACUAAUUGAUGAAUCCUGAAAGUGCUCUUACGUUUUCUUAUAAAAGAACAAAGAUUACCUUGAAUAUUUGAAUUCAUUACAUCAUUGAGCUCUGCCAUGUUUUAUUACUAUGACCAUAUAACUUCAUCCUUUAAGCUUGUACAGCUAAUUGUCGAUUCACUUCACAUGCUCUUUUAUCCUUUCAUGGUCGGUCCAACUUAAUCUACAAGCAAUGAGGAAAUUCGGGGACAAUUACAGCACAAUUCCGCACAAAAUAACAACAAUUUGUAGUAUUGAUUACGUUGACUUGAGAAAUAGAGAGGAAAAAAAAACAUGCUUGUCUGUACCGUCAAUGAAGCUACCAUAUGAAUGCAUUCCAUGAAGCAUAAGCAAACAUAUGUACGAGUACCCAAUUUAAGUUCAACUUUAAGAUAGAUUAAUUAGUUUAUAUGUAGCAAUUUUACAGCUGAAAAUUUUCUGAACAUUAGAAUUGUCCAACAUAUCUACAAUGCUAUUUGUACAUUUUUUUAUCAGUAACUACUGCUAAAAUAAUUUCCUGUAAGGCGAGAUUACGGUUAAUUUAAAUUAGCUUAAGUUCGAUUUCUCAACAUGAAAAAAACAUAACAAAAUCCCUCUUAUAACGUGCCCUUCGCACAUUGAAGUAUUGACUAUGCUUAGUGGAAUAAUGUAGAGAUACAACCCCCAAUUGCAUCUUCAUUAAAGCCUACUUAUAGGAAAAUAGGGACAUGGGAUCCACCAAUUGUACCUUAGCUGCUGCCCUUAUUUCACGUCAAUGCAAGACUAUUGUUGUCAGACAAACUUAAUCAACAAACCGUGAGAAAAUUUCCGGUCGACAUUUACACCACAAUAUACAAUAAUAAAAAUUUUGCUCAUAAUGUUUACGCAAUUUGAUCAUAAUUCCAAAAAUUUAUAUAUUCUUUUAAUUUGAUGUAAUUCUAAAAAUUAUAAUAAAAAUGAAGUUCGAGCUAAGAAAAGCUCUUCUAAUAAGGUUCAAGUGACAAGGGGGAGUGCCCACUACUUUGGACACUACCCAUCACGGGAGGGUGAAAAUAAGAUUCACAGUUACUAGAGAGAUUGAAUCCCUUGCAGGAUCCAAGAAAUAUAAAGGCAAGGUUCUUGUUGUAGUAAAAUCUAGCAAGAAAAGAAAGAUUUUGUUGGACGAUUCCUCGCUUCUGAGACAAGUUCGAAUUCAUCAUCCAAGAGCGCACCUCUUUGUGUCAUGCUACAGCCUUAAACAAAGCAUCCUAAUGUUCUUGUUCUGCUGCAAAAAAGAACAAAAGGAUGAAACAAGUUGGGGUGCCAAAAUUUUUUUCUGAUGCAACUACAUCAACAAGAAAGCAGGAAGAAAGAAUCCUGGACUAGAAAAAGAAACUUUUCCUGGAUCCGGACUGCUCCAAUUCCAUAUCUUGUCCUUUCAUAACAAUUCCAAUGGAAUAGAUAUAGAAGGCACUACCUCUAUGGCCAUACACCCCCAUGUACGACACUGUACUACCGAUCUUCUCUAGAUUUAUGAUAGCCUUGAAGCUGUUGAUGUAUCUCACUGGUAGGGGUCCAGAAAAAUAAUUACUUGAGAGGUCAAAAUUUUGGAUUUUAGAGAAAAAAAGGGAUAGACUUGGAGCUAUGGUCAUGCAAGGAACCAUGCAUUUGAUUUAACUUUAGUACAAGAACUUAUAGCUGUGGAAGUGAUACAUGAUGGGAUGAAAUUUAUUAAAUUUCAAUCACCAACGCUGUCAAUUUUCAAGCUUGAGAAAUCAGCAGACUUGCGACGACUUGUUGUGUGGUAUCCUGGAAUUUUUGGGUUGAGAUUUCAAUGAAGUUGGAAGAUCUGUCUCUUAGCUUCGAAACGUAUUUUGAAUCACUCAAUUUUGAGUUCGGGAGCUCAAGUUAUGACCAUUUUAGUGAAGGCUGCGCAAGCAGAAUUUUUGAACGGGAUUAUGACGGGAAUUACAAAUUUCGGGCUUUUAAUUCGAGUUUAAAUCAUAUUUGGUUCGGUUGUAGGUUUAAUUUUUAUUAUAUAUGAGACCAAUAUUGUAUUAAUCAGCUCUUAUUAUUCUAUUAUUAGUUUGUUCUAAAUUUUUUUAUAAUUAUUAAGUAUUUUAAGUUAUUUAGGAGUUUUAUGUUAACAAGAAAGUUUAAUUUAAAACUAUUUUUUGUUUAGAUUAAAUUAGAGUUCUAGUAUACUUAAAAAUUUUAUUUAGAUUUAUUUAGCUAGACUAUAUAUAGGCCUUUUCAUUGUACACAAUUCAUUAUUAUUCUAUUUCUCUUAGAGUUAAUAAAUUCUCUCUAGAUUUUUCUUUUCAAGAAUUUCUCUUAAGUUUCUUUUAGAAGAGUUUUAACAAUCUUUUUAGAUUGUGGAGAUCAUCUUCAAACUUUUUUUUACCAAGAUUUCUAUCCUGGAGGGGAAAUUAGAGUUGUUUGAAAUGGGUUAUAGAUUCUUUGUGUUUGCAAGGCUUCUUAAGACUACAUGUCACGUUCUAUCUUUUUAUUUAUCUUGGAAGAGAAAUUAGAACUGCUUGAAGGGGGUUUUGGAUUCUUCGUGUUUCUAAAGCUUCUUAGGACUUCUAUACGUCACAUUCUAUCUUUCUAUUUAUUUUCUUUAUUCAUUUCCUUAUUGUUCUAAUAUUUGAUUUAUUUUUUUAUUCUAGUUAUUUAUUUUAAUUGUUUUAUCUGAUUUCGAUUUGAUUUCGUUUUAGGUUGUGUCAAAAUCUAAAUUUCUUUCCAAACGUGUAGAGCCCUAAGUCAAAUCCACGACUUUGACAAACUUUACGAUCCUCUUCUGUGUUCAUCCGUCUCAUUUUUUAUCAGGAAGACUUCCCAGCCAAUGAGGAAAUGUACCAUUGAUCUUGUUGUUACCAAGAUCUAGCUUAGCACUUUCAGUCCUUUACAAUUAAGGAUGGUGUCAAAGGCCCUUCUAACAGAUUUCCAUUUAAGUUGAAAUUACUCAAUUGGAAUCCCUUUGCAAAUGUUAGAGGAAUCGUCCCAUAAAACUUGUUCUUCUUCAGAUUCAUGAAUUCAAGGAUGUUGCUCAAAUCUCCAAAACAUUGCGAAAUUGUUCCACUCAAAUUAUUGUGGGACAAAUCAAGAAUUCGAAGAGAACUGGCAUUGCAUAUUAAAGAAGAGACCUCUCCAUUGAAACUAUUAUUUCAGAUCAGAAAGACUCCGAUCGUCGAAGCUGGAAUCAAAAGAUUUCCACUGAUCAAAUUGGAGCUUAAGUCAAGAAAUGCAAUAUUCUUCCAUUGAGUAGAUUGUCAAUUAAGAUUAAAGAUAUUAGAUUAGGAAAAGCAGCUACUUCAUCUGGAAUUGAACUUUCUAAUGAAUUUCUAGCUAUUUCCAAGUAUUCAAGUUGCGUUAGGUUUAAAAUUGACAAUGAAAUUUGUCCACUCAAUUCGUUCGAUGACAAGUCUAAAAAAUUCAAGGACACAAGAUUCCCCAUCGAGUCAGGCAAUAUCCUCCGCAAAUAUUUGCUUCUGAAAUAAUCAAGAACUCUAACGAUGAUAAAUUUGUGAUUGAGACAGAGAAUCUUUGAAAGAGAAUUACCUGAUAGAUCUAAGUACUUUAAGGCCUGUAGAUUAUCAACUGAAUUAAUGAAUUCGGUGGAGAAGGACAUCCACGACAGACCCAAAUGUUCAAGAUUGCUGCUCCGAUUGAACUUCAAAAGAUCAAGAUUCAGGUUUUGGUUGCCUCCCAAGUUGAGGAAAUUUAGGUUUGGCAAAUCAAAAAUGUUUUUUUGGGAAUUUUCCUUGCAAAUCACAACCAGAAAGACUGAGAGACCUUAGAGAAGAGGAUAGAUUCGUGAAGACAUGAGGAUUAAUAGAAGACAUGUUGAUUUCAUCCAAAAACAGAUGUCUGACCUCGGUCAGGUUGUGAACAAGUCCCUCGACAGCAUGUUUGUCAAUUGUUUGUCCAUCAGCCUAAUAGGAGAGAUUAAGUGAAACCAAUUUUGAUAGGUGGGAGACUUGGGAUGGGAUUUGUCCUACAAAACUUGUAUGAGAAAGGUUGAGAUAUACUAGGCUUGUAAAAAAAUUUAAAAUUUAAUCGGUUAGCAUUAAAUAUGUCAUUUUCUAUUAACUGCAAGAAAACUAUCCGGUAAACUGCAUCUUCCUCUUUAGAUGAAAUUUUGUAAAAAAAAAAAAAAUUGACAUUAUCACUUAUAUGGUCCUUCAAUUUUUUUUUUAAAAAGUCAUUUUAACUCUCUAUUUAAUUUUUCGCGUCUUUGAGCUUUUAAAUUUGCGUUAUUUAUCAAAUCAUCCCAAAAUGGAUGAAAAAGUUAACAUUUGUUAAUUCUAUUGACGAGACAUACAUAUCGAUAUCAAAUAAACAAUUAAUUGAUUUUUAAAUUUUAAAAAUUUUAAAAAUAAAACAUAUAUUAAAGUUUUCUAAGAAAUGAGGAAAUUGGAACCAUGUACAGAAGAAUGUCCAAUAAUAUAAACACAACAUUUUAGUUAUUUUCUACUGUCCAAUAAUGCCAUGUGUAUUAGUACAAACAUUCAUUAAACCUAAUUUAAUUUUAGCCAUUAAUUUAAUUUUUCAUCUUUAUUAGCCCUUAAACCUACAUUAUUUAUCAAAUAACCCUUAAACUUAUAUUGUUUAUCAGAUGAAAAAAUUAAUAUCUAUUAACUUUGCUAACGUGCAUACAUAUGCAACUUCUUAUUUAAAUCUAAAAAAUCUAAAAAUAAUUAAAUAUGUAUAAAUCUAAAAAUAUCUUAAAAUUAAAACUAAUUUUUUUUAAACUAAUGCAAAUUUUUAGUAUUUAAAAAAUCUUAAAAUUUUCAAAUUAAAUUCCAUUAGUUUUCCACCGUUGAAGAACACCUUCAAUCACAUCAACAAUUUCAUGCUGUUUUGCCUAGAAAUUGUUUUGCAAAUUUAUUUUGUUUUAUUUAUUUCUAAACCCAUAUUUCUUUGCUAUAACUCCAAUUAUUAGAUUGUUUAGGGUUUUGAGUAACUUUCGGUUUUAAAAUUUUAGAUUUUUUAAAUUUAAAUACGAAGUGCUCUUCUUCUUCUCCAAACCCACAAUUUUUUUCUGCCAAAUUUCAACUCAAGGUUUUACUUUCAACUAUAAAUAAAACAUAUAUUAUAUUUAUAAUAAUCUAAGAAGUGAAAUAAUUAGAAUUGACUUGGUCUUGCUUCCUUUAUAUGUAUGAAUGUGGAAAUUGGCAUAAUGCCAACUUAUUUUCCACGCAGAAGAAGAAAAUGGUGCUCUAUUCACUCCCUUUCCUAGCAAACAAGGCCACAUAUGACUUAGAUAGAUAUAUAUAUAUAUAUAUAUGGUCCCUAAGUGUGUAUAUAUUAAUAUAUUUUCAAGUAAACAAACUUAUGCCUUAAAAGUUGAAUAAUAGCAUCUAAGAAACAAAUUUUCCACCAGACUGGAAAUUUUGUAUUGCUUGGAAUGAAUUGACUCUCAUUUUCUAUUACUUGCUAGAAAUAGGGGAAAUUUCACAUCAAUGCAUUCACUUCACUAGGUCUUGCUUCCUAUCACUGUCAACCAAACUUGAUCGACUAGCAGUAAGGAAAUUUCAGUCAUUUGCAGCAUAAGAAUUCCACACCCUCAAAAUAAUUUGCAAUUUCAAAAAUAGAUUAAUAAGUGUGGUUCAAAUACCAAGACUAUAAUAUCUAUUCACUUCACUUGGUCUUUAUUACUCACACAGAAUGUAUCAUCAUCAUCAUUAUAUUACUCUUUUAUUGUUAUUUUUAUUUUUUUCUUGUUACUUUUAUUUGUUAUUAUUAUUAUUUUUUUAUACUUUCAUGUUUUCUUUUUCAUAUAUUCCACCUUUUAUUUGUUUAUUUCAUUCUUUUACCUAAUUAAUAUUAGAUUUUAUUAGUUGGUGCCAUUACUUAUUUGUUGUUUUUGAUAUAUCAUCGCUUCGUUAAUAUGCACCAUCAUUUUAUUAUUGUUGCAAUUACGUCACGAGCCGUUUUAAAUGUAUUCAUGCUUUUCUAUUAUGCCCCGAAUAAAUUAAAUAUCUACCAUUUUAAAUAUUACAUUAACUUUUAUGCGAUACAUAAAAAAAGAAUUUUUUUUUACCAAGGCAAAUGUUUGUUAUUUCAAAUUUAGAAAAAUCAUGUUCUAACUUACGGAAUAUGGUUGCCUUCUAAAAUUGAGAUAAUUGAAUAUAUUUUAAAAUAAACAAAAAUUUGUUUUUUUUUUUUUUACAUUUGUUCUCAUUUUCGGGAUUUAAGGCAUGGUGUCCUAACUUACGGAACGUGAUCCUUUUUCCCGAUUAAUUUAAAAUAAAUCUAUUUUUGUGAAAACAAAAUUUAAGUAAUAUUGAAACGAAGGACCGUAUUUUAAAAUCUCUUCAAAUUCUCAAUUUUUGACACUAAGACAUUAAUUAAUUAAUCAAUUAGGUACUAAUUUUGGGCGUUACGAGGGUGCUAAUAUUUCCUCGUACGUAACCGACUCUCGAACUUAUUUCCUGGAUUUUUGUAGACCAAAAAUUGUUGUUUUAGUAAAUCAAAUCUUUUAUUAAAACGAUUAAAUUACAAGGUGAUCCGAUCACACUAAUAAAAAGGAUUGGUGACGACUCCCAUUUUCGUUUUCAAAAUAAAAGUCGACCCUUUUCAAAAAUAGUUUCGACAAUGUGUAACAAGUAUUUUUAUUAAUCCAUUUGGAACAAGAUUUUGUUUCCUAAUGUUAAGAUUUGCUGGAGCAAAUAAAUUGAUUAAUGCUUUGAACUUUCCCAAACACUUUUUAUCAUUUUGUAUAAUUAGUAUAUUUGAAUAUAUUAGAUACAUCGUCUAAAACAAUGUCAAUAGUAAUUUUUUUAUAUUUUGUGGACCACAAGGGUACCAUAUAAAUAAUUUUAAAAAAAAGAUGGAGUGAUACAUUUACGUAGUGCUUAUGAAUAUAAUGUUGGAUUAAAAUCCUUAAUUAUGAGUACAUAUGUAUAAUGUUUGAUAUUACAAUUAUCUUAAUAAUUUUGUUUCUGUUUUUGUUGAUUGAUGAUUAUAAAAAUCAUUAUUUUUCUGAAGGCAUGCUUUGUUGUCAAUGACAGUACCUGCACCCUAAAAUAAUCACCAGCUUUAACAACUGCAAGAGUUGUCCUGCCUGACAUUUACUAAAAAAUCACCAGGGAGCACAUUGUCAGGAGAUCCUUGCUGGAAAAAACUUGGUAGGAUGGUUUUUUUGUGCAAACUUAGGAUUUCAAUUCUCAUCAAGGAACUUGCAAGCCAAUUAUUGUAGAAAUGUUUGUCCAAAUGAUAAACAUUUGGAAUCCUAACCACAGGGACUUUUGCAAGCCUAUUAAUUAGCUCCAGGAACUUUAGAUUCUACCUGUUCAAAACAUUUUUUCAAAGAAGGAAGCAUAGGUGAAAGGCGUCUAUUCUGGUUCAUCUCAUUGAAUACAUCAAAUGGAGGAUCAAUACGCUGAAAAAGGGACAAUGGAAAGAACUUUAGCCUACAACUUGAAUUUUAUAACUACUCCUAUGCCAACCAGCAAACCAUAACAGCAUACAUAAAAAAGAGGAUGCUGACUUACAGUUCCUUUCAUUUCACCAAAACCAAUCAAAUCCCUUGCAAUGUUGUUUGGAUCACAACAGCUCAUCUUUCAAUCCUAGAUGGCUCCGCCAAUUUUUUGAAAGCAUACAUGAACUGUUCAAGAAAUAAAUGGAUAAAACAACUACAGGAUAGAAGGCUAAAAAAUUACAAAGAGCAAUGACCUUAUUGUUAAAAUUCCAACGUCCAUUCCUUGGAAAGAUAUCUUCACCAUUGCCCACUCAAGAGAACUCAAAUAGCAGCAAGAUCUCGUAUAAAAUGUAACUCUCAACAACACACACAAAUGUUUGUUCUAUCAAGGAACAAUACACAGACAUAUUCACCUACCCUUGGUGCUGGCAGAAUAUGCCCAUUCACUUUGGUGAAAUUAGAGUUGAUAAUAACCCCACAAGAUUUCUGCACCAUAAUUACUGCGAAGUAAACCUGCACAUAAAUUUUCAUUCUUCACUAGAUACAUAUUGGAAAUUGGCCAACCAUGCUGCUGUUACAUUUUGUGGUUGAAGUGCAUGCAGCUUGAUGACAUGCUGGAGCACAUAUGGUUGCUGUAACAGCAAGGUUUCUCUUUAGUUUCUUUGUUGAUUAAACUAGUUGAAAAUGAACAAGUUGAUGACAACUUGAUGCAUUAGGUGUUGAAUGACUAGUUUAGGUGGCUUGUUUAUGUGUACAAGCAAUGUUUUAAUAGUCCCAAUGCUGAUUAGUGGGGUUAGUUGACUAUUUGAUGAUGUAUUUGACUAUAAAUGUAUGUUUUUUCUAGUUGAAUGAAUGAGCUGAAUAGGCUAUCAGCCAUAAGCUCCCUUGCUGCACAUUUGUGAGCAAGUAAAAAUACUUCUUGCACCUUGCUUCAUUGUUAUGCUCUCUGUUCUCUUCUUUUGCUGCUGCCAAAUGUUCCAACAAUACAGAAUCUAUUUUUGUAAGUAAAAAUUAGUUGUAUUCAUUGUUCACAUAAUUGAUCUUUUGUUGUGGAAGUAUUGUAUUUCCGGUAAUCCAUUAAGUAUUCAGUGUUUGAUAUAAUAGAUUUGCAUUUUAUUAUUGUAUUUUGUGAAAGGAUCCUUUAUCUAUUUUUUGUAACCUAUUUUGUUUUUUGCAUUUCUGAUUAGUUUACAUGAUGGCAUACUCAAUGAUCUCUUAAGUUAGUUAUGUUAGGCUCUUUAACCAUUGUUGUAGCUCACCGUACGUACUCCAUGCCCCCUUAUCCAUAUCUAGCUACUGACUAGUACACAACUAUCAUUGUUCUCACAUCACAUGUGGAUUGGUGGAUUUCUGAUAAUGGGUGUUGUUGCGCAUGCAGCCAUUUUUAUGGUAAGAGACAAUGAUUCAACUACUCUAUACAAUGAUUUAUUAGAUCGUGAUGUAAUCAUAUCACAUCUCAAUUGGGCAUUUAUAUUUCUUGACUUUGUAUAUUCAUAAUGAUACCAUGAUAGCCUUUUCCCCUCUUUUUUUUUGUUUUUUUUUUUUAUCUCUAGUCUCAAUUUUGGGCGUGACACAAUGAAAUUAGAAACUAAAUCUAUUUUUGUAAGUAAAAAUUAGUUUUAUUCAUUCUUCACAUAAUUGAUCCGGUAAUCCAUUCAGUGUUUGGUACAAUAGAUUUGCAUUAUAUAUAGGUUUGCCAAUGAGAUGGCAAGCAGACUGCUAGCUAGAAAUUCUUGCAUCUUUGAAUCACCAAUUCAAUUAAUAAGCUUAACUAAAGGAAAUAAGGACUUUACAUCCACCAAUUUUAGCAACCUAUAUGUACCCUUUUACAGUCUGCAUUGUUCCAUGUUUCAAUUCAUUCCAUCAUUCCUUCAACUCUGCUAUAUAUUAUUACCAUCUCCAGACAACCAAUCCUUUUACUGCUAACUUGUAAAGAAAUUAAGAAAAUACAGCAGAGAUCAUUGACACAUUUUGUUCUCCUUUCUCCUUUACUGAGCAGUAGCAAAGAUUGUCGAGACUAAAUUGAAAGUCAUGAAAGAAGACAUAAACAACACCACCAUACAAAAUGUUACACUCAAACAAACCGUUACAGAUAGUACGAAAUGCAAUGAAAGAGGAAUUGGUACAAUAAUAAAGACAGACACAUACCAAUGCAACCCUUCACCAUAGGCAAAACGGUCUACAGAACAAUAAAUUAUGAAAAUACAACACUAAUUCUUCAACAUCCUUUGCAGUAAUUAGAUCCUUUUUCGUCUAUAGCUUCAAUUGCCUUUCUUUGACUUUCUUCUUCGCCUCCUCUCUUGUUGGUUUUCAACCAAACUCACCAACCAUUUCGGCUUACCAGUUUGGAAAACAACAUAUCCCACGGACAUUCCGAACACCACUCCGCAUCCAUAACCUAUCAACACCACUUUCCAACCAAAAGCAAUGUUUGAUGUUGAGCCAUCUUUUUCAAGCACAUUUGGAGGUGCUGGCUCAAUGAUGUUGCAACCUUUCGAGACCGGAAACCCACAUAGUCCCUUAUUCCCUUCAUAUGAAUCAAUUCCAAAUGUGUUGAAUUGUUUUCCUUGAGGAAUCUGACCAUGGAGUUGAUUUUCAGAAACAUUGAAGGACGAAAGAAAUGGCAGAUCUGCCAAUCUAUUUGGAAUCGUCCCAGACAACCUGUUUGAAGAUAGGUCCAACCAUUCAAGACUUGUCAAAUUCCCUAUUGAGGUGGGGAUACCACCAUUAAGGUUAUUAUGGGAAAGGUUGAGCCCCUUUAGUAAGUUAAGCUUCCCAAUAACUUUUGGAAUCUCUCCUUCAAACUGAUUGUUUGAUAGAUCUAUGAUCAUCCACAUGGUGAAAAUUUUCACCAAUUCCCUAUCUUGUCCUUUCAUAACAAUUUCAAUGGAAUAGGUAUAAAAGUCACUACCUGUCGAAUCAUACACCCCCAUGUACGACAAUUUACUCCCAAUCUUCUCUAGAUUUAUGAUACCCUUGAAGCUGUUGAUGUAUCUCUCUGGUAGGGGUCCAGAAAAAUAAUUACUUGAGAGAUCAAAGAUUUGGAUUUUAGAGAAAAAAGGGCUAGACUUGGAGCUAUUGACACAUAAGGAACCAUGCAAAUGAUUUGACUUCAAUACAAGAACUUGCAAAUAUGGAAGACUUCCCAACCAAUGAGGAAAUGUAUCAUUGAUCUUGUUGUUACCAAGAUCUAGCACUUCCAGACCAUUACAAUUAAGGAUGGAUGGUGUCAAAGGCCCUUCUAACAGAUUUCCAUUUAAGUUGAAAUUACUCAAUUGGCAUCCCUCUGCAAAUGUUGGAGGAAUCGUCCCAUAGAACUUGUUCUUCUUCAGAUUCAAGAAUUUAAGGCUGUUGCUCAGAUUUCCAAAACAUUGCGGAAUUGUUCCACUCAAGUAAUUGUGGGACAAAUCAAGAAUUUGAAGAGCACUGGCAUUGCAUAUUAAAGAAGAGACCUCUCCAUUGAAACUAUUAUUUGAGAUCAGAAAGACAUUGAUCGUCGAUGCUGGAAUCGGAAGAUUUCCACUGAUCAAAUUGGAGCUUAAGUCAAGAAAUUCAAUAUUCUUCCAUGGAAAGUGCUCAACUUCUGUCAAAGAGUUGUGAGAUACGUUUAAGUAAGUCAAAGAGUCAUUCCCCACCUCUUGCAUCCACUGUGGAAUCUUGCCUUCAAUUUUGUUGCAAGAGAGGUCUAAGCUUUCCAAACUUUUAAGCCCUUUCAAAAAUUGGGGGAAUUCACUAAAAUUGCAAGAUGACAAAUGUAAGUCUGUAAGAUUAGGCAAUAUAUGAUUAACACUAGAAGUAGAAUUAGAUGUUAAGGAUAUGCGGAUAUAUGAAAGGUCAAGAUAUUCGAGAUUUGGAAGGCUUGAGAACAUGCGAAACUCUAUAACACCACUAAGAUUAUUUGAGGAUAAAACGAGGUGGGUAAGAUUGAGAACUUGGAAUAUUGAAGAUGGAAAAGGACCUUGGAGUUUAUUAUUGUUUAGAUAUAAAUGUUCUAGUGAUUUGGAUUGGAAUUCUUUGAUAUGCCCACUGAAUUGAUUUUGAGAGAGAAUUAUAACCUUUAAGGAGGGAGCAGUAUACAACCAUGACGGAAGUGUUCCAUUGAGUAAAUUGUCAGAUAAGCCUAAAUAUAUUAGAUUAGGAAAAGUGGUUACCUCAUCUGGAAUGGAUCCUUCUAAAGAAUUUUCAGAUAUUCCCAAGUAUUCCAGCUGGGUUAGGUUUAGAAUUGACAAUGGAAUUUGUCCACUCAAUUGGUUCCACGCCAACUCUAAAUAAGUGAGUUGCAAGAGGUUUCCCAGUGAUCUUGGAACCGUUCCUGAUAAGUUGGAAUUGGAGAGAUCUAAAAACUUCAAGGACACAAGAUUCCCCAUCGAAUCGGGCAAUCCUCCAAAAAUAUUUGCGCCUCUAAUAAUCAAGUACUCCAAAGAUGAUAAAUUUGUGAUUGAGACAGACAAUCCUUGAAAGAAAGAAUUUCCUGAUAGAUCUAAGUACUUUAAGGCCUGUAGAUUAUCAACUGAAUCAAUUAAUUCUGUAGAGAAGGACAUGGACGACAGAUCCAAAUGUUCAAGAUUGCUGCUCCGAUUGAACUUCAAGGGAUUAAGAUUGAGGUUUUGAUUGCCUCCCAAGUUGAGGAGAUUGAGGUUUGGGAAAUAAAAAAUGUUAUUUGGGAAUUUUCCUGGCAAAUCACAACCAGCAAGACUGAGAGACCUUAGAGAAGAGGAUAGAUUCAUGAAGACAUGAGCAUUAACAGAAGACAUGUCCAUUCCAUCCAAAAACAGAUGUCUGACCUCGGUUAGGUUGUGAACAAGUCCCUCCAGAGCAUGUUUGUCAAUUGUAAAUUGCUCAUACUUAUCAGUCCAAGAGGAGAGAUCGAGUGAAACCAAUUUUGGCAGGUGGGAGACUUGGGAUGGGACUUCUCCUACAAACCCUGUACGAGAAAGGUUGAGGUAGAAUAGGCUUGUAAACCGACCGAACUCGGAUGGCAUUUUGGAAAGAUUAAAAUGAUUGUAGGCAAGGUUGAGUUUUUGAAGGUGAGGAAGAAGGAAGAGAGUGGUAUUGGAAGGGAAGUUGCCAUAUAGCCAACUGCAACUCAAGUCAAGGGCAAUAACAUGAGCAUUUAGGUGGUCGCAAGUGACCCCAUCCCAUGAGCAGCAAUCUGUACCCUCCUUCCAUGAAUUUGUCUUGGGAUAAGAUUUAAGGCCAGUAAUAUAAUCGCAAGACAAAGAAGCAACCUUUUUUAUGGAAAAAGAGUCCUUAAACUGGAUUAGUGAAGAGCAGGAGUGAGAUUCUGAAGAAGAAAAAGAAGCAUAAAGAUGGGGAAAGAAGAGGAAUAGGCAGAGAAAGAGAUAGGGGGCCAUGUUAUGUUUGUAGAGGAAGAAGGAUAGGAAUGGUAUUUAUAGGCAACAAAUAAUACCACAACAUUGGUGUCUUUUACAUUGAAAAGCUAUGGAUAUUAGAUUUUCAAAGUUUUUGUAUUUUUCACAAUCAUCAGCAACCACUUGGUCUUGUUUUUACCAUACAUUUUUCGAUUUUUUUAUAGCAAAAUGUUGUAUAUCAUUUGAACUCCCUAAACAACUAAAAAAAUUAAGAUUGAGGAAGAAGACUGCUGGAAAUUUAAUCCAUCGAUUCUAUAAAAACGUGUAUACCUAUACAUAUAAUAAUCUCAUAAUUCAAAUCUAAAAUCUCAUUUGUUAUAAAUUAUGAUAAACUUAUUUGGGAAUAGCUAUUUUUCAUUAAUUAAAUUAUUUCUCUUUUAAUCAAGUAAAAAAUUAAAACUAAAAAGACAUUUAAAUAAUUUAAAUAUCAUUUAAAUUUACAAUCUGUGAUUUUAUAAUAGAAUAUGCAUUAAGGAUUUGCACACACACAGACAUGUUGUGAAGAUUGAGUGAAAUACUAGCUGUCCAAUUAAAUAUAAAAAAUGUCUUUGUUUUUCUGUUGGUAAUGAACAGGAGCCAAAUGUUGAAGUGGCUGGAACUUGUCUUGUAUUGCUUGCCUGCAGAUUUUGGUAUGUUUGAAAUGUAUGGAGAUGUGCCAAGUGGAACUAUUUUGGGGCUUAUCACUACCUCUGUGUCACACAACAGAACACAAAAUAAAAUAAUCAAAUCAGAUCUUUGAAUAUUGAAAUACCAAAAGUUAAAAGAGUACAUGCACUACAACCAAAAGUUUCGAUAUAUGAGGGUAGUGGGACAUGUAUGCUUGUGACCAAUUGGCUAGAAUUACAGGUCUGAAAUGUGGAGAACGUGUGGAUGUAAUUUUGCCCAUUUAUUACAAAUUGAUAAAACUGCAAUAUAAGUGCUUACUAUUUUAACUUUGUUACAAAUUAGUCCUUUUUUCUAAAAUUUAGGGAUUUAUAUAACUCAUUUUCAGAAAUUGACUCAAUUCUUUAAUAGUCAUUGUCGAAAACAUUAUAGAAUACCAAGCUUACGAAUUUGAAAGCAUUAUUGAAAACAAUUAUUAUUUUCAUAAAAUCAUUCAUCAAAUUUUUGUUUUCAAAUUUCAUACAUGAAAUUAACAAAUAAAGAUAGCUCUAAAUAGCAAAACCCAAUAUGUUUUAUCCAAAUUGAUAAAGAUGUUGAUGCAACAUUUUAGAUUGCGAAUUCCUUCAUCACAUUUGGAAUCCUAACCACAGGGACUUGCAAGCCUAUUACGAGUGCUAUGAUAAUCAAAUAAAAUUCAAUUCAAUUUUAAGUUCCAUAUAUAUAACACUUACAUGGCUACAAAAUGUGUGUGUGUGUGUAAGUGUCCUCAACCACAAACAAUCCAAAUUUGCACAGAAACCACCCAUUACAUAUAGGUUUGCCAAUGAGAUGGCAAGCAGACUGCUAGCUAGAAAUUCAUGCAUCUUUGAAUCACCAAUUCAAUUAAUAAGCUUAACUAAAGGAAAUAAGGACUUUACAUCCACCAAUUAAAGCAACCUAUAUGUACCCUUUUACAGUCUGCAUUGUUCCAUGUUUCAAUUCAUUACAUCAUUCCUUCAACUCUGCUAUAUAUUAUUACUUUCUCCAUAUAACCAAACCUUUUACUGCUAACUUGUAAAAAAAAUUAUGAAAAUACAACACAGAUCAUUGACACAUUUUGUUCUCCUUUCUCCUUUACUGAGCAGUAGCAAAGAUUAUCGAGACUAGAUUGAAAGUCAUGAAAGAAGACAUAAACAACAACACCAUACAAAAUGUUACACUCAAACAAACUAUUACAGAUAGUACGAAAUGCAAUGAAAGACAGAGGAAUUGGUACAAUAAUAAAGACAGACACGUAACAAUGCGACCCUUCACCAUAGGCAAAACGGUCUACAGAACAAGAAAUUAUGAAAAUACAACACUAAAUCUUGAACAUCGUUUGCAGUAAUUAGAUCCUUCUUCGUCUAUUGCUUCGAUUGCCUUUCUUUGCUUUUCUUCUUCGCCUCUUCUCUUGUUGGUUUUCAACCAAAUUCACCAACCAUUUCGGCUUACCAGUUUGGAAAACAACAUAUCCCACGGACAUUCCGAACACCACUCCGCAUCCAUAACCUAUCAACACCACUUUCCAACCAAAAGCAAUGUUUGAUUUUGAGCCAUCUUUUUCAAGCACAUUUGGAGGUGCUGGCUCAAUGAUGUUGCAACCUUUCGAGACCGGAAACCCACAUAGUCCCUUAUUCCCUUCAUAUGAAUCAUUUCCAAAUGUGUUGAAUUGUUUUCCUUGAGGAAUCUGACCAUGGAGUUGAUUUUCAGAAACAUUUAAGGACGAAAGAAAUGGCAGAUCUGCCAAUCUAUUUGGAAUCGUCCCAGACAACCUGUUUGAAGACAGGUCCAACCAUUCAAGAGUUGUCAAAUUCCCUAUUGAGGUGGGGAUACCACCAUUAAGGUUAUUAUGAGAAAGGUUGAGCCCUUUCAGUAAGUUAAGCUUCCCAAUAACCUUUGGAAUACCCCCUUCAAACUGAUUGUUUGAUAGAUCAAUGAUCAUCCACAUGGUAAAAAUUUUCACCAAUUCCAUAUAUUGUCCUUUCAUAACAAUUCCAAUGGAAUAGGUAUAGAAGCCACUACCUGUCGGAUCAUACACCCCCAUGUACGACAUUUUACUCCCAGCCUUCUCUAGAUUUAUGAUAGCCUUGAAGCUGUUGAUGUAUCUCACUGGUAGGGGUCCAGAAAAAUAAUUACUUGAGAGAUCAAAAAUUUGGAUUUUAGAGAAAAAAGGGCUAGACUUGGAGCUAUUGACACAUAAGGAACCAUGCAUAUGAUUUGACUUCAAUACAAGAACUUGUAGCUGUGGAAGACUUCCCAACCAAUGAGGAAAUGUAUCAUUGAUCUUGUUGUUACCAAGAUCUAGCACUUCCAGACCUCUACAAUUAAGGAUGGAUGGUGUCAACGGCCAUUCUAACAAAUUUUCAUUUAAGUUGAAAUUACUCAAUUGGCAUCCCUUUGCAAAUGUUGGAGGGAUCGUCCCAUAAAACUUGUUCUUCUUCAGAUUCAAGAAUUCAAGGCUGUUGCUCAAAUUUCCAAAACAUUGCGGAAUUGUUCCACUCAAGUAGUUGUAGGACAAAUCAAGAAUUCGAAGAUAAGUCGCAUUGCAUAUUAAAGAAGGGACCACUCCAUUGAAACUAUUAUUUGAGAUCAGAAAGACAUUGAUCGUCGAUGCUGGAAUGAGAAGAUCUCCACGGAUCAAAUUGGAGCUUAAGUCAAGAACUUCAAUAUUCUUCCAUGGAAAGUGCUCAACUUCUGUCAAAGAGUUGUGAGAUACGUUUAAGUAAGUCAAAGAGUCAUUCCCCACCUCUUGCAUCCACUGUGGAAUCUUGCCUUCAAUUUUGUUGCAAGAGAGGUCUAACCUUUCCAAACUUUUAAGCCCUUUUAAAAACUGGGGGAAUUCACUAAGAUUGCAAGAUGACAAAUAUAAGUAUCUAAGAUUAACAGUAGAAGUAGUAUUAGAUGCUAAGGAUAGGCUGUUAUAUGAAAGGUCGAGAUAUUCGAGAUUUGGAAGGGUUGAGAACAUACGAAACUCUAUCACACCACUAAGAUUAUUUGAGGAUAAGCUGAGUUGGGUAAGACUGAGAAGUUGGAAUAUUGAAGAUGGAAGAGAACCUUGGAGUUUAUUAUUGUUUAGAUAUAAAUAUUCUAGUGAUUUGGAUUGGAAUUCUUUGAUAUGCCCACUGAAUUGAUUUUGAAAGAGAAUUAUAUACUUUAAGGAGGGAGCAGUAUACAACCAUGACGGAAGUGUUCCAUUGAGUAAAUUGUCAGAUAAGCCAAAAUAUAUUAGAUUAGGAAAAGCGGUUACCUCAUCUGGAAUGGAACCUUCUAAUGAAUUUUCAGAUAUUCCCAAGUAUUCCAGCUGCGUUAGGUUUAGAAUUGACAAUGGAAUUUGUCCACUCAAUUGGUUCUGCGAGAAGUCUAAAUGAGUGAGUUGCAAGAGGUUCCCCAAUGAUCUUGGAAUUUGUCCACUCAAUUGGUUCCAUCCCAAGUCUAAAUGAGUGAGUUGCAAGAGGUUCCCCAAUGAUCUUGGAAUUUGUCCACUCAAUUGGUUAUGCGACAAGUCUAAAUGAGUGAGUUGGAACAGGUUCCCGAAUGAUCUUGGAAUUUGUCCACUCAAUUGGUUAUGCGACAAGUCUAAAUGAGUGAGUUGCAAGAGGUUCCCCAAUGAUCUUGGAGCCGGUCCUGAUAAGUUGGAAUAGGAGAGAUGUAAAAACUUCAAGGACACAAGAUUCCCCAUCGAGUCAGGCAAUCCUCCAAAAAUAUUUGUGACUGAAAUUAUCAAUUACUCCAAAGAUGAUAAAUUUGUGAUUGAGACAGACAAUCCUUGAAAGAAAGAAUUUCCUGAUAGAUCUAAGUACUUUAAGGCCUGUAGAUUAUCAACUGAAUCAAUGAAUUCUGUAGAGAAGGACAUGGAUGACAGAUCCAAAUGUUCAAGAUUGCUGCUCCGAUUGAACUUCAAAGCAUCAAGAUUGAGGUUUUGGUCGCCUCCCAAGUUGAGGAGAUUGAGGUUUGACAAAUCAAAAAUGUUUUUUGGGAAUUUUCCUUGCAAAUCACAACCACCAAGACUGAGAGACCUUAGAGAAGAGGAUAGAUUCAUGAAGACAUGAGCAUUAACAGAAGACAUGUUGAUUCCAUCAAAAAACAGAUGUCUGACCUCGGUUAGGUUGUGAACAAGUCCCUCCAGAGCUUGUUUGUCAAUUGUUUUUUCAUGAGCCCAACCGGAGAGAUCAAGUGAAACCAAUUUUGACAGGUGGGAGACUUGGGAUGGGGCUUCUCCUGCAAACCAUGUAUGAGAAAGGUUGAGGUAGAAUAGGCUUGUAAACCGACCGAACUCGGAUGGAAUUUUGGAAAGAUUAAAAUCAUUGUAGGCAAGGUUGAGUUUUUGAAGGUGAGGAAGACGGAAGAGAGUGGUAUUGGAAGGGAAGUUGCCAUAUAGCCAACUGCAGCUCAAGUCAAGGGCAAUAACAUGAGCAUUUAGGUGGUCACAAGUGACCCCAUCCCAUGAGCAGCAAUCUGUACCCUCCUUCCAUGAAUUUGUCUUGGGAUAAGAUUUAAGGCCAGCAAAAUUAUCGCAAUACGAGGAAGCAUCCUGUGUUAUGGAAAAAGAGUCCUUAAACUGGAUUACUGAAGAGCAGGAGUGAGAUCCUGAAGAAGAAAAAGAAGCAUAAAGAUGGGGAAAGAAGAGGAAUAGGCAGAGAAAGAGAUAGGAGGCCAUGUUAUGUUUGUAGAGGAAGAAGAAGGAUAGGAAUGGUAUUUAUAGGCAACAAAUAAUACCACAACAUUGGUGUCUUUUACAUUGAAAAGCUAUGGAUAUUAGAUUUUCAAAAUUUUUGUAUUUUUCAGAAUCACUUUGUCUUCUUUUUAUCAUAUAUUUUUCAUUCUUAAAAUUGGAUGCUUUUUUCUUAGCAAAAUCUUAUAUUUGAUUUGAACUCCUUAAACAACUAAAAAAAUUAAGAUAUUGAUGAGAUUACAAAGUAGAUUGACUUAGGGCCAGUUCUUUGCCCUGGUUGAAAAGUACUUUUACACCCAAAAGUGCUUUUUGGGUGAAAAGCAAUGAAGAAUAUACAUUAUCUGGGGCCAGUGGAGUAACUUUUUUAAAGCACUUCAGCACUUUCCAAAAGAUGAAAAAGCAGAAAAUUUCUACUUUUCCGGCAAAAAAGUGCUUCUAAGCUGCUCAUUUACUUUUUUAGCCACACCCACAAAUUGCUCUCAUCUCUUCUCUCAUCGCUGCUUCUUUGAUCCUCUGCUGCUUCUUUGAUCCUUUGCUGGUGCUGGUUCUCUGUUCUUUUGCUACUGCUGGUGCUGGUUAUUUGUUCCCCUGCUGGUUAUUUGUUCCUCUACUGGUGCUAGUUCUUUGUUCCUCUGCUGGUGCUUUGUUCCUCUUCUCCACCACCGGUGAGUUUAUCUUUUUUUCAUAGGAUGAGUUUUGUUGCCUGAACUUUUAUGCAUGAUGAAAUAGAUGAUAUUGGCUGCUUAGAUAAUUAACAAAACAAAUGAUGUUAGCAUAGGGUUUCUGGAAUCAAAACCCAAACUGAAAUUUAACCCUUUCUUUGUUUUGGCAUGCUUUAUUUAUUUGGGGGGUUAUAAUCCAUGCAUUCAUCCUAACAAAAACUAAAAACAUUGAGUUGAAAUAGAAAACCUAUUUCUCUGGCUCUGUGUCUCUCUCUAUCCGUAUCAAUCAGUUCUGAAAACCCGGAUUCGAUAUUCUACCACUCCCACCAAAUACAGCAAUCCCUUAAUACAAUCUUUGAGUUCCUGUAUAACAACAGACCAAUCAAGGUGGUAAAGCACAAACCUUCACAAAGGAAACAGUUUCAAGUUCAAGCUAAAAAGGCAAAAACCAGUCAAUAAAUUAAUUAGAGCCUAGACUUCAGUCAUGGGGAUACUUGCAACAGGUGAUAAAGCAUGGGCACCUUCUUCUGGUACACUCCUUACUGAUUUUUUCGAGGAUGUUAACAACGAAAUACCUGAAUAGAAUGAAGAAGAAAAUAUGAGAAAUGAUGUUCACAUUUCAAAUGAUGUUCAGAUUUCAAGUGAUGUUCACAUUUCAAAUGAUGUUCAAAUUGAUGGAACCAGUCAAAAAAGAAAAAACCCUGAGAUGUUAAGUUCACAUUUUAAAACUGGAAGAAAGAAAUCCUCAAAGCAAAUUGGAGGGGCUGCAAGAUUGUCCAGUCAAAUAGAAAAAUUAUGCAAUGCAGCUGACAGUAUGAGUCAAGCCACAUCUAGUUUGACUCCUAUUAUGGAUCCAUUUGGUAUUCCACAAGCAGUCAAAAUGCUUGACAGCAUGUCAGAAGAAGUUCCAGAAGCUAGUUCGCUAUACUUUUUCGCACUUAGAUUAUUGCUCAAUAAGGACAAGCGGAUUAUGUUUUUAUCAAUUAAUCUCAAGAUUAGAGCUUUGUGGCUUAAGACGGAAAUGGAGGAUAGUUGAAAAUUUUCUGAUCUUUUAGGGUUCAAAGAUAUCUAUUAUGUGACUAAACAACAAUGCUAAACUAGUUUUAUUAACAGUUAUUUAUGUUUGGUUUUUGGAUAUUGAAUUAUGUUCUACUUAUUUAUGUG